RNAcentral lists this long non-coding RNA (57307 nucleotides) under Setaria italica (foxtail millet). RNAcentral's name for it is "long non-coding RNA (SITA_LNC002660)". Lineage: Eukaryota; Viridiplantae; Streptophyta; Magnoliopsida; Poales; Poaceae. The record is from RNAcentral.
CCGUCUCCCCGAUCUCCGGCGCGUAGUCGAUCUCGUGGUUGCCGGCGGUCCAGAUCCAGGGCUGGUACGCGACGCUGCGCUCGGAGAAGCGGCCCCAGGUGUCCCAGCGGUUGUUGUCGUGGAGCGGGUGCUUGUCGGCGUAGGAGAGGUCGCCGACGAAGAGCACGGCGUCGCCGGGGUGCUGCUCGUAGUGGGUGAGCGUGCUGUUGGAGUCGGGCGUCUGGCCGAGGUCGCCGAUGAGACCCAGCCGGAGCGGCGCGCCAGGGCCGGGCGGGGGCGGCGUGGUGAACCAGAAGGUGCGCACCGUGUCGCCGAACCCCAUGGCGUAGUAGUACCGGGUGCCGUGGUCCAGGCCGGUGAGCGUGCAGUGGUGGAUGAAGCCGGAGGUGUAGUUGUAGAAGGUGUAGCGGGUGGUGGUGCCCUCGGCGGCGAGGUCGAGCCUGUCCGCGGCGCGGCCGUACAGGACGGUGCUGUUGCCCUCGGCCUCCACGGUGACCCAGGACACGAGCAUGGCCGUGCCGGUCUGGUCCCCGAGCGUGAUGUGCACCUGUUGCGGCGCGUUGCGGCCCGGCGGCACCGCGAACACGUCCGCGUCCAUCGGCAUGUCGUCGGAGGCCUGGUGCUUCCGCCGGUACGUGCUCGUCACACAGCGACGAGGGUGCGCCGCCUCGCCGACGGAGAAGAGCGCGGCGGCGAGUACUACUACUACUACUACUACCAGCGCCGCCGCAGCGGCGGGCUUCCUUUCCAUGGCGGCCACGCACUAACUGCUACUACUACUACUCGCUGGCUGGCUGCAUGCUAGCUACUGCACUAGUGCUGGCUUUAAGUAGCUAGAGCGGAGGAAGGCAUCAGCAUUCACCAACACAAGCAGCUAGUACAGGCAGGAGAGGGGCAGUAGGAGGCGUGUGGUUGCCUGCGUACCAGACGACGUGGAUCAUCCGCUACCAUGCGCAUCAAGUCGUUUGGAGCCCUGUUCAUGGUGAUUGGCUUCUUGCUAGCUUCCCGUUCAGGUUGAAAUGCAAUUAUCGGUGAUGAUGGUGCAGGUCCUCCGCUGGAGUCAUUUCAUUGGAAGAGAAAAUUAUGCUGCCUCCGAUCCAUCGAUGCAUUCAUUUUUUGAGCUAGCUGGCGCGCCAUCCGUAGCCCCGGCCGAUACGAUAGGUAUAGCUAAUCUCUUCUUGUUCGUACACAAUAUUGUCACGUGGAUAAAAAGUCGGAGUCAGUGCUGCGUCGUCGCUGCCAGGGUGACAGAGAUCUCUCGGCUAGGCUACAUACGUUCUUGGCUCAGCUCUCGUCCUCAUAUCGACCUUUGGCAUCUCUGCGUUUGCACACCCUCGUCCUCAUCGACCUUUGGCAUCUCUGCGUUUGCACACUGUGGACCAGCUGCAGACGACGACAGAUAUGAUGCAAAUCGAGCAGCCUGUGGGUAGUACAUACGUUGGAGGCGGCGGCACAGGAGGUGUCGGCUGUUCCCUACGUCGAGGAGGACCCCGCCAUCCUCGGCUGGGAGGGAGCAAACAGGGGACGAAGGAUUCGGACGACGGCGGCGAUCCACCGGAGAUGAUGGCGUCAAUUCAUCAGUUGCUACGCCGGUGCGGCAUGUUCUGCAGUUUGCGAGUCCUGCGCGCACUGCACUACGCCUGAGCAAAUCUUGUUUGGGCCACGAAUUAUUCGGCCCAGCAUCUAUUAUGCGGCCGAGUUGCCUUCUUCCCUCCCCCUCAGCUUGUCUAUGGGCUGCGGCUUAGGCAGUGUGCGUUACUGUAGCGCGUGCCGGAGCUUAAGUCGGGUAAGUCAAUUUUUUCAGCUCCAUGGGCUUCCCUCGUUUUAGUUUAUUUUUGAACUCAUUUUGUAUUCCGGCUUCACACUGCAGUAGAAAAUAGUGCCGCAUAAUGCCCGACUACUGUAGCGAGAAGCCAAAACUGAAACCGGCUAAACCGUGCGGCCUUCGAAGCCCAUCCCCCACAGGCCCAAUGGGAACCACAUGGCUUGUCGUUUGCGAUAGCAACAUCACCAGCAGCGCCAUAAGACAAGACGUUUUUGGAUGGAUGGAUACCACCCACACCACCAUUCGAGCAGUGGAACCUCACCACCACAAUUGAGCAAGCCUCAUACGGUUUGGAUAUUGAGCAAGCCUCUCGCUACGCCGACGAGUACUCUCCACCAGCGUCGCUGGCUUGCCGUUCUUCGAUCAACAGCAUGAUCUAGCAAAUAGUGCAUGAGUUAUGAGCGUCAUCGAUCUCAUUGUUGCGAGUCUCGCUGAGAGGAUGAGCAUCGUCGAGCCUCGGCACGAGUUCUUUACUCGUUAACGAAAAGUGACGCCGGGAGGCUAUUCCUUGCCCCGUUUACACGGGAGCAAUGCAAGCCUAGUCCAUAUGCUAUUAUACCAGCGAGGCUAGACGGGUUUCAUCGAGAUUUGAGGCAAUAGACGGUUCCAAAAAUUGCCAUCUCAAAAAUAAAAUGAGAUCUUUGGUUAGAUUAGUCCUUUAUCACAUUAAAUAUUUAGAUACUAAUUAGGAGUAUUAAAUAUGGACUAAUUAUAAACGCAAUUGCACACAUAAAGGCUAAUUCGCGAGACAAAUCUAUUAAGCCUAAUUAAUUCAUGAUUAGCACAUACUUAUUGUAGCAUCACAUUGUCAAAUUAUGGACUAAUUAGACUUAAUAGAUUCGUCUCGCGAAUUAGUCUCCAUCUGUGCAAUUGGUUUUAUAAUUAGCCUAAUUAAUAUCUAAACACUCUCGAUAUAACAGAGACUAAACUUUAAUCCGUGUAAUCAAACAAUAACCGGAGAACAACUACAAAUAAGAUUCUGAAUAUGAAGUCAGGAGAUGGUGCUUUUCCCGACGUCGUGGCACGAUAAUCCAGAUUGGAUUGGGCGUGUCUCGAUUGGAUGACCAUCUCCUAGUCCUCCUAACAGCACAGUAGUAGCACACUUGCUAUUGCCACUCUGCCAGCACAAAUCCCUCUAGUUCAAGACCGCAUAGCCGUCGGUGUCACCACUUUACGAGAGUCCACUUGAUCGAUAUAUAGCUCAAGAGUGCUGCACUCAAUUAGCUCCGCCAUGCAGCCACUAAGGUUUCCAAAAUAAUUAUGGUUUCUUAUUUACUUUUGAAAUGUUUAAUCAUCGGAUAAUAUAAGAGCUUGAAAUCUUCUUGUCUGCCCUUAAAGAAGAUGGCAAAUCUGAUAUGAUGCUAAUGAACUGAAUGCCGAUUUUUGAUUUCUUCAAGAUUUCAUUCGAAGUUUGGCCCUUGCACGUCUGCAUUGAAUUGGCUAGCUUUCGUCCAAACACUUUUAUUGCCGAGCAGCCUGACCAACCUUAGCAGUUACUUGCCGCCAGCCUACCACUCCCGCCCAAGGAAAGCCUUCAUCAUCACCAUACACACGCCUCCAAAGGAAUCCUAGAAGCAGAGCCACUCCACUCCACCGAUGGCGACCGCCGCGGCGGCGUUCGCGUCGCAGGUGCUGCGCGGGCGGUGGUUCAUGGCGUACGGCUCCUUCCUCAUCAUGUCCGCGGCCGGCGCCACCUACAUCUUCGCCAUCUACUCCAAGGACAUCAAGUCCACGCUGGGCUACACCCAGGAGCAGCUCAACACCGUCGGCUUCUUCAAGGACGUCGGCGCCAACAUCGGCAUCCACGCCGGCCUCGUCGCCGAGGUAACCCCGCCCUGGCUCGUCCUCGCCGUCGGCGCCGCCAUGAACCUCGGCGGCUACCUCAUGCUCUACCUCUCCGUCGCCGGCCGCGUCCGCCCCGCGCCGCCGCUCUGGCUCGUCUGCCUCUACAUCGCCGUCGGGGCGAAUUCGCAGGCGUUCGCCAACACCGGCGCGCUCGUCACCUGCGUCAAGAACUUCCCCGAGAGCCGCGGCGUCAUGCUUGGUCUCCUCAAGGGGUUUGUCGGGCUCAGCGGCGCCAUCUUCACCCAGCUCUACCUCGCCUUCUACGGCCCCGGCGGCGGCGGCGUCGACACCAAGCCGCUCAUCCUGCUCGUCGGCUGGCUCCCGGCCGCCGUCUCCGUCGCCUUCCUCGGCUCCAUCCGGAUCAUACGCGCGCCGCGGUCGCCCGUCGCGGCGCGCCGGGAGUACCGCGCGUUCUGCGGGUUCCUCUACGUGUCGCUCGCGCUCGCGGCGUUCCUCAUGGUCGCCAUCAUCCUGCAGAAGCGGUUCCGGUUCACCCGCGCCGAGUACGGCGUCUGCGCCGCCGUCGUGUUCGUCAUGCUGCUCCUCCCCCUCGGCAUCGUCCUGCGCGAGGAGGCCGCGCUAUUCAAGUACCACAACAUCACGAACGCGCCCCCGGCGCACGCUGACGCGCCGGUUCUGUCCCCGCCGGUGACCGCGGCCACGAAGCAGGGGACGCAAGAAUCCCCCGCGACGACGACGGCGGGUGCGAGAUUUCUGGCCGCGCUGAGGCCGCCGCCGCGCGGCGAGGACUACACGAUCCUGCAGGCGCUGGUGAGCGUGGACAUGCUGCUGCUGUUCACGGCGACGGUGUUCGGCGUCGGCGGGACGCUGACGGCCAUCGACAACAUGGGCCAGAUCGGCGAGUCGCUGGGGUACCCGCAGCGCAGCGUCGCCACCUUCGUCUCCCUCAUCAGCAUCUGGAACUACCUCGGCCGCGUGGCCGCCGGCUUCGCCUCGGAGGCGCUCCUGGCGCACCACCGCGUCCCGCGGCCGCUGCUGGUGGCAGGCGUGCUCCUCCUCGCCGUGCCGGGACACCUCCUCAUCGCGUUCGGCGUGCCGGGGUCGCUGUACGUGGCGUCGGUGAUGAUCGGAUUCUGCUUCGGGGCGGCGUACCCGAUGAUCCUGGCCAUCAUCUCCGAGCUCUUCGGCCUCAAGUACUACUCCACCCUCUACAACGUCGGGAACGUGGCCAGCCCCGUCGGCUCCUAUAUCCUCAACGUCCGCGUCGCCGGCCGCAUGUACGACCGGGAGGCAGCGCGGCAGGGCGCCGUGGCGGCGGUGGCCGGAAAGGGCGUCACGUGCGCCGGCACGCUCUGCUACAGGGAGUCGUUCCUCGUCGUCGCGGCGGUGACCGUAGGCGCGGCGGCGGUCACGCUGGCUCUGGCGUGGAGGACGCGGAAGUUCUACGCUGGGGACAUCUACGCCAGGUUCAAGGAGGGAACCGCGGGCAAGGGCGCCGCCGAGGAGCCGGUGGCGGAGUCCAAGGAGCAGGCGGAGGUGCAUGGGCGCCGGGGAGGCGUUCAGCGAGAAAGCGACUGAUGGAUGCAAAUGUCGGAUCAAAACAAGUUUUUUUUUUGUCCAGAGAGCAGGUAAGAUUGGAAAUUUUUGUUCGUUUUAUGGUGGGUUUUGGAUUGCGAAUUUUGUAUGACCAGGUGAUAGUUAAUCUCUACAACAAUAUCUUCUCUGCAACUAAAAAAAGGGAGAAGAGACAAAAUUUAAAAAGUUUUUUUUUGAAACGAACCUGGCAGGAGAGCUGCCGAUUAUAUUAAAAAGGAGGAAUCCAGACUGGAUAAGUACAAUGGAUCAAAAAUGAAAUGACAUGAGGCAAAAUUGAGCCAGAAGAAUAAAAUAAAAUAAAGCAACACUAUGAACUCAGUCGCAAUCAGCAUCGCACCAUUAGAGCGGAGAGAUGUUUCGCUCCCGCCAUAAUCCACACGGUGGCCUCGUCUUUGAUCCACUCAAAAAUCAUAUUGACAGAAGACUCCUUGCUGUUAAAUAUUCUCAUAUUCCUUUCCCACCAAAUUAUCCAUGUAACUAGCAUAAUCAAAGUUUGCAUGCCUCUCUUGGAGCAGGAAUUUGCUCCUGCUCUCAUCGACCACCAGUGGUGCAGCGUAUCGGCCUGUUGCCAAGCCCUCGGGUGGAUUGCUGGCGCUGAUAAUCAGUCCGCCACCAUGGCCCAGAUUCUUGUUGUAAUCCGGCAUUCGGCGAAAAGGUGUAGCGCCGAUUCUUGUGAUCUCCGACAUAGUGGGCAGGUAGCUGGAUUCGGCCAUCCCCUUUUCUGAAGUCUGUCAGCAGUCCAAAGGCGAUUUUGGAUUGCGAGCCGAAGGUUUUGCAGCUUCUAGGGGCCCAUAUUUUCCAUAUCAAGCCGUCAAAGUUGGUGGAAGCCGAACCAAUGAACUGUGCGGCGUAAGCGGAUUUUGCGGAGUAGUUACCAUCUGCAGUAAGCUUCCAAAUGAUUUCAUCUUGGACACCCGGGCGUAGGGCUACCUGUUGUACGACUUGCCACAGAAGGAUGUAUUCUCGGAAGUGUUGCACCGAGAAACUACUGUGAUGUAUGUUGAUGUCCCGGAUCCAAGUUCGGUUGUGAAGCGCAUCACGUAAACUCCUGUUCUUUCUUUUUGAAAUGGAGAAAAUACUUGGCGCUACGUCCUUUGGCCUUUGGCCUUGAACCCAGGCACUAUUCCAGAAGGAAGUCUUUGCUCCAUCGCCUACGACGAUGCGUGUACAUGCCGCAAAUAAUUUCCUAUCCGUGUUAUUACACGGAACCUCGGAGCCUACCCAAAGCUUAUCUUCUGCUUUCCACUCAUGCCACAGCCACCUGAGCCUUAGUCCUCUUGCAAAGUUGUAGAUGUUUAAAAUACCUACUCCCCCCAAUCUUGUCGGUCGGGCGGACCUUUGCUAAUUCACUUUGCAUUUCCCCCCUGUUAAUGUCGCCGCCCCUGCCCAAAAGAACUUCUUGCGCUUUGCAUCAAUUUCCUUCAUCACCUCUUUGGGGGCCUCCAUUGCCGACAGGAGGUAUACCGCUUGUGAUGUUAAUACUGAUUUCGUGAGUGCUAGGCGUCCCGCCAUAGUCAUGUUCCUAGCAUUCCACGCAGUGAGUUUGCAGGUCGCCUUGUCUAUGACGUAUUGGAAGUGUACUCUCUUGAGCCUUGACGUCGUUAGUGGAAGUCCAAGAUAUCGCACCGGAAAGGAAGACUGUGUGACUGGAAUGUCUCCAAAUAUGUCGUCCAUAUUAAGCCCUUCGCAUCUUAUAGGCACCACACUAGAUUUCUCGAAAUUUGUUCUCAACCCCGACACUUCACCAAAUCUAGUGAGUAGGUCAGCUAAGGCAAUGACAUCCUGCCUAGUCGGGUUUAGGAAAAUAGCCGUGUCGUCGGUGUACAUGGAUGUUCGGAAAUUGAGGGACCUGCCUCGCAGCUUGGAUAUGAAUCCUCUGUCAGUGGCCUGUUCCAGCAAAGCUCGUAGUGGUUCAAUUGCAAUCACAAAAAGUAAAGGAGAUAAAGGAUCUCCUUGCCGUAGGCCUCUGUUAUGCUUGAUGGGGCUGUUUGGGACCCCAUUGAGAAGGAUCCUAGAUGAAGAUGUGUAGAAUAGAGAGGCGAUCCAAUCCCGCCAACGAAUAGGGAAGCCCAAGCGUUGAAGUAAAUCUAGAAUAUAGUCCCAUCGCACCGAAUCAAACGCUUUGGCGAUGUCAAGCUUAAAGAAUAGUGCUGGAAUUCGUUGUCGAUGGUAGCGACGCGCCAUGUUCCUGAGUCAUAAAAUUAUCGUGGAUGCUCCUUUGCUUGAUGAAAGCCGAUUGAGAAUGUGAUACAAUGUUUUUCAUGUGCGGGGCCAGUCGCAUGGCGAGCACCUUUGUAAUAAUCAUGAUGAAUGAGUGUAUCAAACUUAUCGAUCGGAAGUCAGGGACUGCCUCGGCCCCUUCCUUUUUUGGUAACAACACUACGUUGGAUGUGUUGAUUAAUGGCAGGCUCGUGCAAUGCAAGUUAUGAAAAGCGUUGGCUGCGUUUAUGACGUCGCGCUUUAUAAUCUCCCAGCAGGCCUUAUAAAAUGCUCCAGUGAAGCCAUCUGGUCCGGGCGCCUUGUCCGAUGGUAUGUCGAGUAUUGCACGUUUAAUUUCCUCCUCCGUGAAAGGUUCGGCGAGGGAGCUGAGGUCCAGACUGGGGAGAUUUAUGUUGUCCCAGUUAACGUCCUGUGAUCGUUGUCCUGGUGGCCCCAUCAUCGUAGCGAAGUGGUGUUGAAUUAUGUUUGCUUUUCUUCGUGAUUGAAAGCCCAACUGGACCCUUGCUUUAGUCGCUGAAUGUAGUUUUUCUUCUUCCUUCCGUUAACCCUCCGAUGGAAGUAUUUGGUAUUAGCAUCACCUAAUUUGAUGUUCGUAAUGCGUGAUGCUUGUUUCCGUCUGACCCUUUCAACCACCGCCAGGCCGAGGAUUCUUCGCUUAAGUUUUUGUCGCAGGUUCAAUUCAUCCCUGAUGAGGGUUCUAUGUUCUUGUGCCAUAUCCAAUCUAAGGACGACAUCAGACGCCAUGAGAAGCUGCAUCUUGGCAUCCGGGUAAAAGUUGUGGCUCCAGGCUCUAAGCAUUUGGGAAGUAUCCCGUAACUUGUAGUACAGGCGGUGAAAAGGCUCGUGAUGAGCGCAGGGCUUACUCCAAGCUUCAGUUACUACCUCCUUGAAGCGUGGCAAUCUUGGCCAAAACUCUUCGAACCGGAAUGUCUUUGGCCGUCGUGGUCCACUUUGAUUGGAGAGGAGUAGUGGGCAGUGAUCCGAGUGCGAUGUUGAAAGUGCAUGUAGAGUAUGGGAGGCAAAUAAGGCGUCACCUUCCGUAUUACAGAACACUCGGUCGAGUCGGACAAGCGUCGGAUUUUGUUGCUCAUUGCUCCAUGUGAAGCGGCGGUUCUGCAGUGGAAUUUCCUUGAGCUCACAAUCGCUGAUCGCCUCUCUAAAUAGACUCAUCAGUCUAGUAUUUAGCCUAGAAUUGUUCUUAUCCGCGGCUCUAUAUAUGAGAUUAAAAUCACCCAUUAUAAUCCACGAUGUCCCACUGGGAGGCUUAAGUGUUAGCAUUUCUUGUAAGAAGGCUCUCUUUUGCUCCUGACUGGAUGGUCCGUAGAUAUUUGACAGUCUGAAUGUUUCGCCAUCAUGUAGUGAAAUAGAGGCUGAUAAAUGAAACAUCCCCACAGCAAUCUGUGAGACCUGCACUACCCUCUCAUCCCACAAUAUCAGCAGUCCUCCUCUUGUACCUGAAGCUCCUGUGGCCGGCGCGAAAGCGUUUUUGUUUAACCAGUACCCACCUAAGUAAGACGAAGUGAAGUCAUCUAUCUGUGCAAGCUUGGUUUCCUGGAAGCAUGCAAUGGCGCACGUUGUGUUGGCCACAAUCUGGUGAACUACAUCCCUACGGGCUUGCUGAUUAAGACCCCGUACAUUCCAACAUAAUAUAUCAACGUCGGGGCCGAUCAUUUGAAAUAGCACGUCGCGUCUCAGUGCUCUUCAGGCCGAGGCAUUCUAACCCCUGCUGACGGCCGAAGGACGUACAAAGGGUGUCACAGAGCAACGAAGAUGAUUUGCAAGAUGUCAGAUGCCACAUGUUUUGCAGCUUACAAUUACAACCAUAGUGAAUAAGUCUUGCAACAUAUUGAAAGCAUACAAGAAGUCUUGCAACACACAGCCGCCAUCUUGUCAUGGACACACAAAGGGUAGCACACAGGGACGUUAUCAACAUCCUCAUGGUCGCACACAAAAGUACUGGGAGAGGAGACAGAAACAUGUAAAAUGUAGAGUGCAGCAGGGUGGCCAUCCUGAUUAAGCCACAGGAACCGUGGAUGCCUCCUCCAGCUCACCGGCACCCUCACCGAGGAUUGCCGCCAUGGCAUUGUCGGCGUCCUCCAACUCUUCAUCUUCCAGAUUGAACAUUGCCGUCAUUGCCGCGAUGAUGUCCGCCGGCAGCGCUCCACUGUACAUAUCCAGAUAUUCCUGCAAAGCACGUUCCACCGGCAGAAGAUCGUCAGAGAGAAGGCCAAGUUUGCGGCAGAGAUUCUGCUGCGCUCUCUGGACGGCAUUCAUCGGGCGUGCAUUCGCCAGACGCGAGCUGCGCCGCACUGCAGACAUAUCAAAAGUGCGACGUUUGCGCCUACGGGGGGCCGGGCUUGGUGAACUUGCCUGCUGUGGUGGUGGCGAAGGCAAAGGCAGCACCGGGCGGGGCGGUGUCACGAACAGACUUGCAAUGCCGGGGGAGGCUUGAGUGGUCGGCGCUGUUGGAGUAGCUGCAACCUGUGCGGCAUCAGUUGGAGUAGCAGCAGCCUCCCAAAGCGCCUCUUGGGAUACAACAGUCCCUCCCAGGACAGGCGACGGUGGUGAGUGGCCGGAGACAGGAACGUCCUGGUCGGCCUGAAGCUCCAACUGGCGAAGAGCGAGCUCCACCUCAUCAUGGGAGACGCUUCUGUCAUUGUUGUGGGAGCCAUCAUUUUGAGUCCCCUGCACAUUAGAGGGUACAAUAGAAAUCGCUGCACGAAUCCUGUCAAAAGCAACAGAGACGGGAACAAGAGGAGGCGGAUGCCGGCUUGUGGUCAGCAAUGUGCAUCUAAAUCAAAGCACUAGCUCUCCGCCUGAAACCCACCAAAAUUUAACUGAAAUAGUGAAACCAUGCAUCGAGUUGAGUAUUGCAGAUUUCAUGUUUCUUUGCAGUGACAUUUGUUGGAGUUGGACAAGAACAUUUCGAUAUUCUAAAAAACUUUCCAUGGAUGUGGUCCAAUCUUACAGCUGUUCUUUCGGUUCUACCCUGUCUUCACCAAUUCCCGCCUUGAACUUUGCGUAGAUGUCUCCCGCGUAGAAAUCCCUGGUCCUCCACGCCAGCACCGCCGUCACCACCGCCGCGGCUACGGUCACCGCGGUGAUGACCAAGAACGACUCCUUGUAGCACCGGACGCCAAUGCACGUGACGCCCUUUCCGGCCACGGCGGCCACCGCGCCCUGCCGCGCCGCUUCCCUGUCGUACAUGCGGCCGGCGACGCGCACGUUGAGGAUGUAGGAGCCCACCGGGCUCGCCGUGCCGCAGAAGUUGUACAGCGUCGAGUAGUACUUGAGGCCGAAGAGCUCCGACACGCUGGCGAGGAUAAGCGGCUGCGCGGCGCCGAAGCAGAACCCGAUCAUCACCGACGCCACGUACAGCGACCCCGGCACGCCGAACGCAAUGAGGAGGUGCCCCGGCACGGUCAGGAGGAGCACGGCAGCGAGGAUCAGCGGCCGCGGGAUGCGGUGGCGGGCAAGGAGCGCCUCGGAGGCGAAGCCGGCGGCGACGCGCCCGAGGUAGUUCCAGAUGCUGAUGAGGGAGACGAAGGUGGCGAUGCUGCGCUGCGGGUAACCCAGCGACUCGCCGAUCUGGCCCAUGUUGUCGAUCGCCGUCAGCGUGCCGCCGACGCCGAACACCGUCGCCGUGAACAGGAACAGCAUGUCCACGCUCACCAGCGCCUGCAGGAUCGUGUAGUCCUCGCCGCGCGGCGGCGGCCUCAGCGCGGCGACCAAUCUCGCACCGACCCUCGCGGGCUUCGAGGUGACAGGCAAAGGCUCCGGCAACGGCGCCGGCUUGGCGGCCACGGUCGCCGGGGACGGCUCCGGCGCCUCUGCUCGCGCUUCAUGCGCGUUCCUGAACAGAGCAGACUCCUCGCGCAGGACGAUGGCGAAGGGGACGAGGAGCAUGGAGAGCACGACGGCGGCGCAGACGCCGUACUCGGCGCGGGUGAAGGGGAACCGCUUCUGCAGGAUGAUGGAGACCAUGAGGAACGCCGCGAGCGCGAGCGACACGUAGAGGAACCCGCAGAACGCGCGGUACUCCCGGCGCGCCGCGACGGGUGACCGCGGCGCGCGUAUGAUGCGGAUGGUGCCGAGGAAGGCGACGGAGACUGCGGCCGGGAGCCAGCCGACGAGCAGGAUGAGCGGCUUGGUGUCGACGCCGCCGCCGCCGCCGGGGCCGUAGAAGGCGAGGUAGAGCUGGGUGAAGAUGGCGCCGCUGAGCCCGACGAACCCCUUGAGGAGACCAAGCAUGACGCCGCGGCUCUCGGGGAAGUUCUUGACGCAGGUGACGAGCGCGCCGGUGUUGGCGAACGCCUGCGAGUUGGCUCCGACGGCUAUGUAGAGGCAGACGAGCCAGAGCGGCGGCGCGGGGCGCACGCGGCCGGUGACGGAGAGGUAGAGCAUGAGGUAGCCGCCGAGGUUCAUGGCGGCGCCGACAGCGAGGACGAGCCACGGUGGGGUGACCUCGGCGACGAGGCCGGCGUGGAUGCCGACGUUUGCGCCGACGUCCUUGAAGAAGCCGACGGUGUUGAGCUGCUCCUGCGUGUAGCCCAGCGUGGUCUUGAUGUCCUUGGAGUAGAUGGCGAAGAUGUAGGUGGCGCCGGCCGCGGACAUGAUGAGGAAGGAGCCGUACGCCAUGAACCACCGCCCGCGCAGCACCUGCACCGCGAACGCCGCCGCGGCGGUCGCCAUGGCCGACGACUGCUUGCUUGCGCUGCCUGUCGCGAGCAGAGUGUGCGCUCUUCUGGAUUACUAGUUGCUUACUUAAUGAGUAUAAAUAACAGUUACUGGAAAGGAGUAGUUAGUUCUAAAGUUUGUGGGGGGAGAAAUGCGUGCUGUAUUUGUUGUUUUACCGGAGCAUGCGCAGACCGGUGAGUUGGAAAGUUAAAAGAAGAGAUGAGAUUGAACUUUAGACCAAGAAGUUGGCAUUUGAUACUGUUCUGCUCUUGUUUAUUUCUUAUUAGCCGUAAUAGUAGAAUAAUAUUUGGACAUGCAGUGAUAUUGGUAACCUGUUGCAUUGGCCUAAUAAGCAAUUAAGCAACUAACCUGUGAGUUAACUUGAUAACACAUGGUAGGAAGUUUUAUAGGACUUGGUUUGUAUCUUACUGUUGAUGAUGCACAGCAUCCAACUGGAGUAGUAGACAACAAAAGGGCAGCAUGUAGUUUACUGAAGGAUCGUUUCGUGCGGCUUGAUUCCGGCACAAGGGUCACGGGCAACGACGACUCUGUGUCCUUUUGGAUGCAUGUGUCCUCAGCAAUAUGUACGAUUAUCAGCCACGAUUAGGAUUAUGAGCAUGCAUGGAAAAGACCCUCAAUUGUUGGCCUUGAGGAGGAUUGACUAGCCGGGCAAAUUUCAGUGCAAACAAAUGACAAUCACAAUCACUGUAACUGGAUUUAACUCGAAUUCACAAUCAUAAUCACAAAUCGCUCCUACUGUAGUGAUCAAAUCAAAUGGACGUACGCACGAGAUAAAUAUUUUAUUUGAUUGAUGAUGAUUAAAGUUUGAUUCAAGAGAACCAACAAGAAAUAAUUCAAGUAAAGUUUGAUCCUAAUCCAAGAGCUCAAGUAUUACAAUAAUUAGUUAUUAUUAAUUGUGGAUUGGAGCCGUAGCUUCGAUUCUUCGGCCGGUGACCGGUGUAGAUGAAGCUAGCUAGCUAUCUAUCCGGAGGCCUCGACGACGGCGACCUGCCCUCGGCGCGCGGCGGCAAUCGUUGAGGAUGUCGUCGACGUAGAACUGGCACCUGCUGAUGUCGCUGCCGCUGUGGUUGAUGCAGUCCUGGAAGGCCUGGACGUGGAUCUCGCACGGGCUGCUAGCCGGAGCCGCUGCAGCCGCCGCCGUGGUGGUCUCGUGUGCGCCACGGCCGUGCUGGCGCCCCACAGGCCACAGCCAUCCGUCGGCGAUGGCGGAGGCCACCUUGGAUCUGGCGCGGGGAGCAGAGUGCAAAUCAAUCGGACACGUAAUUAGUUGAUUGAUAGGUAAAUCUGAUAAUAAUCCUUCUUCACACUCGGCUCGAUCCAUGGUAUGCAGGCAAGGCAGAUGAUCUUCUUCUGGAGGAAUGCAAUAGAGUAGACGACCAUGUACGAUACUAUGCCUCGUUUGUUUCCACCUAUAAGCGGCUUAUGUCAUUGGAUACAAACUCCUAAAGUUUAGUAGUGUACUAAAAGUUUAGGAUCCUCAAAUUGCUAGUUCUAAAGUUUAGUACAGAGCUGUUUGGAUGGACUACUAAUCUUUAGGAUCUUAGAGGGAAAAUGUUAUUUUUACCCUCAAUUACUUCUCUAAACUACCCCUGCACUGUUCACGUCAUUAAUGUAUGCGAGGGCAAUAGGGGUAAAGGAGGACUUGGGGACCACUUUUAGAAGAAAUAGGAUCUAUCAGUAGCUCUUGGCCCUCCUAAUGAAAAUGAUCCUCCUAAAGUUUAGGAGUGUACUUUUAGGACCCAUGUUUGGAUACACAAUUCCUAAAUGUGUCCUAAAAGUGGACUCCUAAUCUUUAGGAGGGUGUAUCCAAACAGACCCUUAUUGGUGGAAAUAAGUGAGAAUUCUGCCAAUCACUUUGCUUGUUUCAUCGAUUCUCGUUUAUAUGGUAAGCUUUCAGAGAUUUGAACUACAAGAAAUGAGAAGCGAGAAAAUCUUCACUUAAAUUAUAAUAAAAAAUAACUAGGAAAAGCGUAUCAAACAGCGCUACUACGGGCUAUUUCCACGGCGGCGGUUGCUGCGACACGCAUCGUAACAAUAACUCUUCAGACUCCAGAGCGGGCCGCCCGUUCCUGGGCUCUUGGCCCAACUAGCCCAUUUUCAACCAGCAGCACAGCCUUCUUGCCUGCUUUCCUGCGGCCAGAACGUGGGUGGGCCAAGACCUCAGCAUCAGUCACUCAUGUCCGUGCCAGUCACACACUCUCUCUCUCUGUGUUACUACUUUUCAAAAAAUAAAAAAAAAGUCUCCCUCUGUUUUGUUGGCAGCCGGACAGACAGAGGCACGAAGCCGCACAGCGUGGGACACGGACACGUGACCCGGCACAGUUUUCUUUCUUUCUUUCCUUCCGGGUGGGGAGCCACAUCAGCAUAGACUGUCCAUGCCUCGUCUCGAGCGUUGCACCCGAGCUAUUACUCCUCCGUUCAAAUUUAAUUAUAUUUAGUUUAAAAAAUUAAAAAAACUUACAAUUUUGGAACCGAGGGAGUACAUCGGAGCACUGCUUAAUAUUCUAAUCUCACUGCCGAACCACCUGCAAUUUGGGUUAAUAUUCUAAUCUCACUACCGUCGAAUCUCUCGAAAAGGGAUCACCACUGCAGAUUUUCAUGUGGAGUUGAGCCACGAACUCUUUGACACGCUCAUGAUGCUCAUCUUAUCAGGUACUACAAGGUUAUUCUGAGAUAAAACUGCAGCUGUACUUCUUUUCUUUCUCGCAUGUUGCAUCCCAAUUCCAAAAUGGCUCACCCCUCUUUAUCAAAAAUAAAAAUAAAAAUGGCUCACCCCUGUCGUGUAGAUUCCUCCUCAGCCCUCUUGCUCCAACAAAGAUGUCAAAUUUACACUGCAGUUGAUCAGAAAAUAGCCACCAGGCAGAUAAAAACGCAAAAGAAGAAGAUCAUCUCUAUGCACGACAGUACAUGCUCAUUAGCCAUUAGGUUGCUGGUUCUGUGCAAGAACCACUGUCGUGUAGAUUCCCCCCCUCAGCCAUAUCUUGCUGCAACAAAGAUGUCAAAUUUGCACUGCAACCAGAGUAGGUUGAACCCAGCUGCAGUUGAUCAGAAAAUGGCAACCAGACAGAUAAAAACGCAAAAGAUCAUCUCUAUGUACAACAGAAAUCAACGCUCAUUAGCCAUUAGAGGUUGUUGGUUCUGUGCCAAGAACCACUCUGACUUGCGUUGACCGAGCACAAAAAAAAGAAGGUGAGAAUCUGCACCUUGUCCACCAACACUCCUACACGGUUUGGUUCAUCAUCAUGUAUCUACAAAACUUAUGCUUCCCACCACUCUCAUCCAUCAUGUUGCUCCGGCAUCAGCUACCAAAGUAGUGUAUUACUACUACUCAUCAGCUCAGAGCUCCAGGUGCUGCUCGUAGCACAGCUCGCUCAUGCAGGGAGACAGGAUCUCCUCCUCCAGCAUCUUCAGGACGGCGCUCAUCGAUGGCCGCUGCCCGGGGUCGGCGUCCGUGCACAUCGCAGCAAUGUCUAGAAUGGCUUCCACCGCUUCCACCUCCACGUCACCGCAUCUCUCGUCGAUGAUGUCCUCCAGCCGGUGCUCCCCUGUUAGCGUGUUCAGCUGCACAAAGGCGCAGGUGCACAGUUUUGGGAGUUCAGGUCACCACUUCACCAACAACAACUAUAACCACAGGUAAUAAGUAAAGCAUUUACCCAGCCUACAAUGUUCAGUCCCUUCUUGAUGAAGCAUGCAUCAGUUGGCCUCUUUCCAGUCACCAGCUCCAGCAAAAGCACUCCAAAGCUAUACACGUCCGAUUUCUCAGUAGCAUGCCCGUUCUGCAAGUACUCUGUCACCCAAAGUGUCAAAAUAAGCAUCCAAUUUCACCUUUUUUUAAAAAACAAAAUUUCACUUUCAAUUGGAGCUACACAACAUUACAUUCAAAAAUUUAUGUCUACAAUUACAAUUUUUACCAUUAAAAGAGUAAUGCAGAAAAUUUCUACAGCUCAGUGAAUGAUCAACCUUUUUUUACAAUUCUUGUUUAACUUCUUUUUGGUCUUGUUCGUGUUUCUCUACAACAUGCACUUUCAGUCUUUCAUUUCAGUACAACUAAUAGCAUUCAAUGUUCUUUGAAUAAUGCAGAAAUUCUACAGUUCAGUGAAUGAACAUUUGUUUUUACUGUCCUUGUUUAACUUCUUGUUGGUCGGGAUGUUCUACAAGACACACUUUCAGUCUUAUGUUUCAGUAACAGCUAAUAACUUUCAUCUGUCAGCUCUUAACCUCCAAUUAGAACCGUAUGACUAGUUGAAAAUUUUGCACUGUAGAAAUCAAAACAGUAAUGUCCACCUAGUAAAGUAAGAUAAGUACCUGGUGCUAGGUAUCCAAAUGUACCAGCCACGACAGUGGUAACAUGGGCGCCAUUGUCCACAAGCAGUCUCGCAAGGCCAAAAUCAGAGACACGAGGCUCCAAGCUUCUAUCCAGAAGGAUAUUACUUGCUUUGAUGUCCCUAUGCACAAUCCCAGGUGAGCAAUCAUGGUGCAGAUAUGCCAGACCCCGAGCUGAGCCCAGGGCGAUUUUCAUACGUGCAUUCCAGUUCAAUGGCUGGUCCUCUUGUUCAUCUCCUGCCACAGGUAGAACGGCAUGUCAAAGAAGGCAAUGCACUGGUGCCAGUGAAUUGUUACAGUGAUCAUGCCAAGAGAUGCAUGAUGGUGGGCAUUCUUACCAUGAAGGUAGCAAUCCAAGCUGCCCAGCUCCACAAAAUCGUAUAUGAGUAGCUUCGCUGUGGGGAGUCUGCAGUAGCCACGCAGAUUGACAAGAUUUAUGUGCCUGAUGCUGCCCAAAAUCUCGAGCUCCUUCUCAAAGGUCCUGUCACGACUUUCACGGCUGAGAUCAAUCCUCUUCACAGCAAAUGAUGUGCCAUCAUCCAUUACCAUUUUGUACACUGUGCCAAACCCCCCGCUGCCAACCACAUCCUCUUCAUCAAGCAGCUCCAACCUUCUAAUAAUCUCACUUGUUGAGUACGGAAGGUUCCACUGGUAUGUCACAAGCUUUGCACCUAAAUCAUGGGGGAAAAAAGUAAAAUUAGUUUUCGUGUAGUCAGUCUGGAUAAAACUGUACAACUCUGGUUAGUCACCACAAUCAGCAUCUUUCUAUUUUAUUUCUUUCUUCUUUCUAUUAUAUUUCUUUUUGAGGAGAAACACUACGAAAUUGUGUGUCAUUUUCAUUACCAUCAGGAACACUUUGCUUGUCCAUCUUUACAUAGUUCCCGCCAAUGCUCUUCUUCCUGGACAGCAAGCAAAUCCAUAGGAACCCGAGUACAGCAAUCAAGGCAAGGGCCAAGGUUGACAUUGAACCGAUCACAAUGCCAUUCAGAAAGUGCGAUGUUUUGUUGUUGUUGAUAGGAGAAACACCUAUUUGAAACAGAAAUAAUAAAUAUCAACAGCAGUUAGCCCACACAUGCACUAAAAUUGGUAAAAAAAAAGAGUUAAGAACUGUACUCAAAUAGAAUGGGAGACUUGCCAGCUGAAGAGAGAGGAUCGGAAUGUGGCAGCACAGCAGGAAAGCCGAGGGUUCCACGGCAAGCUCUCUGGAUGGGCAAGCCACAAAGCUCCAGAUUUCCAACAAACCUGCAUCACGUGAACAAAUGCACAACAACAUUAAAUACAGGUAUCCAACGUCAUAAUAGGAAGCACGAAUGAAACAAGGGACAAAGGUUGACGGGACCAAAGCUUACGAGCUGCUUUUGAAGGUUCCGAGGACACCCACAUUUGGGAUCUCUCCGGAGAAGAAAUUAGUGGACAGGUUCCUGGAGAUGGUAAAUGUGCAGCCCUCUCAGUUUUACUUUUACAUCUCCAACAACAAGGGCAUGAGGAAUGCUCAUCAGAAAACUUACAGAAAGCGGAGGUGAGUAAGGCUUCCAAUCGACGCAGGAAUUGUGCCCCUCAACAGGUUGCUCGACAGGUCCCUGCAGUUUCAGCACAUUAUUAGAUCAACAGAAGGCCGUAAAAGCACAAUGAAAGAUUGUAGUGUGAAGAGCAUACAAGAUUGUGAGGUGCACGAGCUCGCCAAUCUCUGAAGGGAUACCACCUUGCAGGUAGUUAGCUCUCAGGUAACUGAACAUAAACAGCAAGAAAAAGGUUCAAUCAUUGAUUUGAACAGCCUGACGAGUUAGCAGAACAAAUCGAGGAAACUAAACUAGUAUAGUUGGGAGUAGCUGCAAAAUCAUACUAGUAGUAGCUUACAUACAUUGCCCUCAGUUCUGUGCAGUUCUUGAUCUCUGCAGGGAUUGGGCCGUGCAAGCUGUUCUGGUGCAGAGCUCUGAAAAGGGAAAGGUCCACCCGUCCGUCCGUCCACAGGCAGCAUAAAUACAUGCACAAGCACAAAGAGAAAAGGACAAUUUCAGUUGGUAUUGGUUCUUUCUAUUUACACAUCUUAACACAAAAGGAAAAAAAAAAGAGCGAGAGAGAAGAAAAGCAUUUGGUCCUAGAAAUGGUGAAGAAAAUCUUACAUCCUCUGCAGCUUGUCCAGCCUCCCGAUGCUUGGUGAAAUGAUGCCCCCAAGCUGCAUGUAUGGGAGAUUUCUGCACCCAAAAGAAGACACACAUUAUUUUACUACUAUUCAGAUGCUGUAAAAAGGAGGGAACAAGGAAUCCAAGAAGAGGGCAUCGGUAGCCGAGCCAUCAUCACACAUUUGACAGUUCAUUCAAAUAAUAACCGAGGGAAGAGGGGGGGGGGGGGGGGGGGGGGGGAGAUUAAAAAUGUNNNNNNNNNNNNNNNNNNNNNNNNNNNNNNNNNNNNNNNNNNNNNNNNNNNNNNNNNNNNNNNNNNNNNNNNNNNNNNNNNNNNNNNNNNNNNNNNNNNNGGAGCAGGAGAUGCCCUCCCAGCCGCAGGGAUUGGGGUCGGAGGGCCUCCAGCUGGUGAGGCGCUGUGCUGUGGCGUUGAAGGCCAGCUUGAGCUCGAGCAGGGCCUCGCCUGCAAGCAAGAAUGAAGCAGGUGAGAGCUGGUUCCGGCAAUGUGGUAAAAAUAAUAAAAAAUGGACAUGGAUUGCAUUGCGGGACUGCAGAUCAGUACCGUCCGGGGUGAGACCCAUGGCGGCCGUGGAGCAGAGGAGGAGGAGGGCGGCCAGAAUGGUGAUGGCGGCGGCGCGCAGGCCCGCCGCACCAUGGCGGCCUCUCCCCUUGUUCCUCCUCCUGCUGCCAAUCUUGUCCAUGGUGGUGGUGGAGAGGGGGGAGGAGUGUUCUUGGCUUUUCUCGGAAGGAUGGCCUGUGGCUUCUUUGGGAGGUUUUGAAGCGAGUGGAGUGGGGAGUGGUGUGUCCGUGUGUGGGAGAAGAGUGAGCUGAGGACUGAGCUGGUACAGUGAGCGAGUCUGCAGCCUUGCUAUUACGAGCCUCUUCUGACCGGAAAAUAAAGAAAAGGCUGUCCGGACGUGCUCCCCGUGACUUGGGCCACUGAUUUGCGGGACCCACCCUCCGUGGACCCAGGUGUCAGGGAGUGGGUCCGCAUAGCACGGACCACGACGGACGCAGGCAGGCGUGCGUACGUGGUCGCGGAGACCCGAGAAGCUAUUGUUGGAUUUUAAAUUAAAAUCCUUGACUAAUCCACUAGCCGUACUAGCACGUAAUCUUGGCAUAAGGUUACUCUUUAAGAAAGGUGUCAUCCAGAAUUUCACGAUACGUGACAAGAUCAUUAAGGAAAAAUAGUUUCAACAUAUGUGAGAGAAGAAAACUUGAUAAACUGUUCAUAAAAUUGUGCAUUGAGAGUUGAGACUGACCUAAGCUCAACUUUUAUGCUACAACGACAUAUUGCUUUACUUCUCCUACCACUCACUGUAGGCAGUAGCAUGUACUCCUGGAAUUUAGUAGUAGUAUAUUUGUAGUAGGAAAAAACCCAUUUUUAACCAUCUAACUAUUUUUGACUAUUUUUGACCAUCGAACCGCAAAAUCAGAAAUCAUUGACCACUCAACUAUCAAAACCGUUCAUAUUUGACCAUCGAGCUGUUUUAUUGGAUGGUUUUGGUGAUGGGAGGCCAUGUGGCGACGGACCCAGCUGCCAACACCUCUCUCUCCUCUCCAUCUCUUUCUUCUAUCCUCUCCCUCUACUCCCACCCGCGCCAACCGCCGCCCUCCCCCACGCCUCCCCUACGCCAGCCGCCGUCGGAGCCCCUCGCUGCAAGCUGCCCGACCCUGCCCAAUGCCCAGAGCUCACGCCGUCGCCCUGGAGCAUAUUGGGAGGAGGGCAUCGUCGCGGUGCAGGGCGUGAGCAGUAGCGGCCCAGGUCAAGCUCAUCCUCGCGGCGCUUGUACCGAAGCCAUGCGUCGAGCACGACGCGCCGGUGCAGGGUCGUCCGUGUGGACGCGCGCGGCCUGCAGUGCCCGCCGGAGCAGUCGCGCGCCGCGAACCGACUGGAACAGCGCGUGCUGCAGCAGGUGCGGGGCUCCUCCGCCCUUCUUGGACUUGUGCUUGGAUGCCGGCGGGUGUGGCGAGAGCGGCGUGGAGGGGUCUUUGGCGGAGAACGCGGAGGCGGGGGUGGGAUCCGGGAGGGAGCUGAGGCGCUUGGAGGCGGCGCACACUUGGGCGAGCUCGGCGAAGCUCCCGACGGGUGGUCGGCAUGGAGGGCAGCGAGAAGGUGACGGUGGGGAGGAGCGGAGGCCAUUCUGGGCGGGUCAACGACUGCGGCGGAUCGGAGGGCUUCGUGCUGGUGAGGGCAGCGUUGGCAGUUGCAGGGCAAGUCGCCCGCCGCCGGCCUUGCCACGCCGCUCCUCCUUGAUGAGGAGGACGACGACGGUGGCGUCCCAUCCCGACCCUGCCAUCCCACUCCAAGGGGGUGUUUGGGACGAGGGGACUAAAUUUUAGUUCCCGUCACAUCGAAGGUUUGGACACUAAUUAGGAGUAUUAAACUAGAUUAAUUACAAAAAUAAUUACACAACCUCUAGACUAAGUCGCGAGAGGAAUCUAUUAAGCCUAAUUAGUCCAUGAUUUGACAAUGUGGUGCUACAGUAACCAUUCGCUAAUGAUGGAUUAAUUAGGCUUAAUAGGUUCGUCUCACGAUUUAACCUAGGGGUUCUGCAAUUAGUUUUGUAAUUAGCUUAUGUUUAGUCCUCCUAGUAUCCGAACAUCCGAUAUGACAAGGCUAAAGUUUAGCCCCUUGUAUCCAAACGCCCCCCAAGACAGAGGUGUGAGGGGGAAGAGCCUGACUUGACAUGUGGGUCCCAUCUGACUCAGCCCAGUGACAUGGCGUCCUAAUCCAAUGUGGGUCCCAUCUGACUCAGCCCAGUGACAUGGCGUCCUAAUCCAAUGUGGCAGUCAAAAUUACAUCGAUCCAGUCAAAAUAGGGCUCAAUGGCUAUUUGUAGAGGGUGUUUAGGAGGAGGGGGCUAAAUUUUAGCCUUCAUCACAUCGAAUGUUUGGACACUAAUUAGGAGUAUUAAACCUAGACUAAUUACAAAACUAAUUACACAACCUCUAGGCUAAAUCGCGAGACGAAUCUAUUAAGCCUAAUUAGUCUAUAAUUUGAUAAUGUGGUGCUACAGUAACCAUUCACUAAUGAUGGAUUAAUUAGGUUUAAUAGAUUCGUCUCGCGAUUUAGCCUAGGGGUUCUGCAAUUAGUUUUGUAAUUAGCUUAUGUUUAGUCCUCAUAAUUAGUAUCCGAACAUCUGAUGUGACAGGGCUAAAGUUUAGCCCCUGGUAUCCAAACGCUCCCGUACACGGUUUAUAGAGGUAAGUGCCAUUUGUACACGGUUUAUAGAGGUAAGUGCUCAUAGAUUUCUAGUUUUCGAGUUUGAUGGUUGAAACCAAACCGAUAGUCAAAAAUGGACUUUUUUUCCUUUGUAGUAUAUGAUAAAUUAUCAUGGUAAAAGUCUUUUGCCAUUCAUACAGUAGGUGUUUGUCUCUACACAUUAUUGUAGGCAGGACUGAUAUCAGGUGAAGCCGUGAAGGAUACCAGGCCAGAAAAACAGGAAUGGCAAGAACAAAUUCCGAAUGAAAACAAAUGUAAAAAACAGCCAGUAUUCGAAUGCAUGCGGCAGUUACAAAUACGUGCCAAAUCAAAUUUAAAGACAGUAUAGUGGCCACAGAGGGAAGGAAACCACAAAACACUCCGAUGCUAUGAUUCGGUUGUGCGUUUGAAUGUGUGCUUGGCAAGUUGGCAACACAACACACACCGUCUUGAAUGUGCUUCAUGAGAUGAGACUCUUGGGAUUGUCAUGUAUGUCGGGACCUGACCUGACCUGACCACUAUCUGCUGCUGCAUGAUGCUUCGUACGGAACGGAUGCCUCCAACCACAAACUAGCCGUUACGUUGAUGCAUGCUGCCAUCGGAAUAUCGAGUCCGACUAGUUUCAAAACGAAAACUCCGAAUUUUUUAACAGAAAGCUAAGGUCCUCGGAACAAAGGAUCUCAAAACGUAGGAAUAGAAAAAAAUAUAGAAAUAGAGUUGCAUGAUAUUUGCAAUCUUACAGGAAUUGAGAAUGCAGGAAAGUUUAUAAUUGUGUGUUUGGAUGCAACGUAGGAAAAACAAAGAAAUGAGAAGAGAGAUAGACACAAAGAAAAGUUUCCAAGUGGUUAGACUUCAUGUUAGAUUUCCUCCAAAAUUCAUAUGGAUUGAGCCAUUCCAUAGAAAUUUUGAAGGAUUAAAAGGUUGGCCAAUUCUUUGUUCAAAUCCUACACGAAUCCUAUGGAACAAAUGGCCACAUAGGAAAAAUUCCUAUAGAAUUCAAAUCCUACAACAUUUCUACAUGAAUCCUAUGUUCCAAAGGGAGCCUAAGAGGUGUCGGGCAUCAUGCGAGAGAUCGGGCUCGGAUGAGAGGUUCGGAGGAGGAAGGAAGGGAGGAGUAAGAAAAUCCUUGAACUCAAAUACUAGACAACAUGCAUCGGACAUCUCUUAAAACCAGACAAAUUAACCCCUUUUACCUAGUCAAAGCAGUUUAGGUGAUUUCGCUGACGUUCCAAUGGGUCUCGCAUGUUAUAAUUGACCUCAGCAGCCAUGUGGCACCCAACUCGUCCAUGUCAGCCCACUGCCACCUAAGCUUCCUCUUUCUAUCUUCUUUCUCCAUCCAAGCCGUCAGCCCAUUGCCACCUAACCUUUCUCUUUCUAUCUUCUCUCUCCAUCCAUGCCGUGCGGGCCCCUCUAUCAUCUUCUACCUCCAGCACACCAAUUUGUUCGCCAUUCCUUGUGGCACGAGCUCUCAAAUACAUGACCUUCCAAGUUCCAAGCACUCCACCGUGCACCUUGUAGAGAACAUGACCCCAUUGGUUCGUAGUUUGUGAUUUUGGCGAUUGAGUGACAACAUAGUUAUCGGGACUAAUUGUUUGUCAAGUAUAUGCCUUGUAGGUUUUCUAGGUCCCAAGUAUGCAAACCAAACCAUAGGCAAGGUCCAAAUCAUGGUAUUCAAGUAUGCAAACCAAACCAUGGCAAUGUCUAAAUCAUGGUAUUAAAGUAUUCAAGCUAGGGUAUUCAAGUGACCAAGCCAUGGCCCAUCGGAGUAAGCAUCGGAGCAAUUGGUCCAACAGGGAAAUCAACUUGAGUUCCAGGAAGCACCGGAUGAUUCGACGGUGGAAAUUUUAGUAGCGUUGGAGCAAUUCUCAGGAAAGGUAGAAAUUGACUUAUAGCAUCGGAUGUUCCGAUGCCCUAUGGAGGUGACCCUCGAACAAAGUAUAUUUACUUUGAGAAGUUCCAGUGAGAUUUUGGCCAGAAAACCAUCAGCACCAGAUGAUGCGAUGGGGCUGUCGGAUGAAUUCUUGAAGAAGUUGGGCUCAGGGGAGCCAACGGCUAGUUGCAUCGGAUGUUCCAAUGCUACCCAAAAAUAGGCCAUCGGAACAUCUGAUAGUAUACUUUAACUAGCCGUUGGAGCCGUGAGCAACGGCUCUUUAAGCUCUUGAGCUAUUUAUACCCCCUCCACUUGGCCAUUUGGAGUUGUUGGAUGAAGUUGAAGUGUGCAGGAGUCCAUUGAAGAGCAAGACACAUCAAAUACAUAUCCAAACCACCAAAAGUGCUUAAGUGAUCCAUCAAAGACUUAGCACAAGCUUAGUAAAAAUGAUUAGUGCUAGUAUAGACCUAGAGAAGAGAGAGUGCAAAAUGUGCCUAUCUUGUGAUCAGGUUCUAGAGUGAACCAAUUUUGUACAAGGUGUGCCGGCGUCUUGAAGGCUUAGUGGCUCACCGGUAAGUCAUGAGCGAAUGACUUUAUGUGUUUAUCGAGUGCUGUUUGUUUGUGCGAAGAAGGCAAUGACUGCACUUUGCUAAUUUUACAGUAUUGCAAAGCGCAUACAAGUAUGUAUUCGUGUGCACUAUUAUGCCACCAGCUUGAAAUAAUUCACUGCCUGCUUCCUGAAACUUGCUGGGUAUUUGUAGAAUCUUCCUUAGGGGUGUUUGGAUACACCUCCUAAAGUUUAGUACCCAUCACAUCGGAUGUUUGGAUACUAAUUAGGAGUAUUAAACAUAUACUAUUUACAAAACCCAUUGCAUAGAUGGAGUCUAAUUCGCGAGAUGAAUCUAUUAAGCCUAAUUAGUCCAUGAUUUGACAAUAUUCUGCUACAAUAAACAUAUGCUAAUCAUGGAUUAAUUAGGCUCAAUAGAUUCGUCUCGCGAAUUAGUAUAGGGUUCUGCAAUUAGUUUUAUAAUUAGCUCAUGUUUAGUCCUUUUAAUUAGCAUCCGAACAUCCGAUGUGACACUCCUAAAGUUUAGCACCUCGUAUCCAAACACCCCCCUAACCUCGAAGAGUCAUCUUCUGUGCACAAAGCAUCGCAAUUGCGAUAAUCAUUUCAAACUACUAAGUUAUUGUUUGAUUGUGGCUGGGUGUCAAACUGACUAUCUUUUUGCAUGUUGAUAGCAUGAAAUCAGUAACAAUUUAAUUGGCUACACCAUGAAGUUAUUGGUCCUUGGGCAUGUAUGAAUAAUUGAUCAGUAGCAACUAGUCAAAAUGCUGAUUGGUCACCGAAGAAGUAAUGCGCUAAAAGGAAGGCACAUUUGAAAUUUUGGCAUGGUCUUCAACUUCCAAUCAUGUUAAGGGAAAGUAAAGCAAGUUAAAAAUAUCAGUAUUAUCUGAAAAAGUAAAAUAUCAAUUCAAUAGAAUAGUCACUUAAGGGAAAAUUUUGUUUUGAAUAUAUGAAAUGGACAUAAUAGAAGAGAAUGGUCACAGAAAUGGCAUAAUAUCUCUCCAGGAUCAGUUAUAAAUAUCAUAGUUGCAGUUGGUAUGCAAAAUGCAGAACUCUCUUCCAAUCACAGGGAGAUAACUGCCAUGAUGUAGCUGUAUUAAUGGGAGAAAGUAUUAAUAUCCCAGCCUCCACAUCCAUUUGAUGCAAAAAUAAAAUAGUAAUAUAUCUCUCAUGAUUAUCAAAUAUAAAUAAAUGUCUGGUACAGAAUUUAUACUGCCUUUAACAACGUGCAUCAGAGCCUGUAUGGUAACUCAGACCUUGAUCAACGAUCAACACAGAAGGAAAAUAGCAUUUCCAUAUUAUGGUUUGGAUGCUGACAGUAAAUGAGGCAAACAUGUCCCAACAAUAGACAGGAUAUGGAAUCAACACUAGAUUAAUUGAAAUGAUUCUAAUGAAAACCCAAACUUUUUAUGCUACUAACCUGGUACUUCAUGUUUUGACAGCUCACUGAUUUCUACAAAUGAAUGGCAUAUUUCCAUGUCUUUGGUUUCAAUAACUUGGCACCUGGUAAUCGUUGAUGUUAGGAUUUAUCAAUAGAAAUCUAGAGUAUAACAUGAAAAAAAGUGUACGUCAAGCAGAUUCGAGUAUGCAUAUUAAAAUAUACAACUACCGAAUUGCAAAGAGAAAAACUCCAGUUUUUUCUGAAACAAAAAACAGAAAUAGUACAUUUUUGUGCAUCCAAAGGCGUGAAGUUAGCAAAAAACAUUAAAAGAAAGGUACCAGACAGUAGGCUCCUGGGACCUUUUAUUAUUCCACAUUUUGUCCUUUAGACAGCAAAAUUCAAUUAAAUUGACAAGUAAAAACCUUCGUUGCAUUGGCAACUUGGCAUCUCUAUUUGGGGUGUAACAUUAGGGAAAUAGAAAAAUAUCAGUUCAAUGCAAAUUGAAAACAAUCUAUAGUCGUGUUCUUAAUUGUCCAAGUGGGGAAGGAUCCCUUGGAUUUUUUAAAUUUCGUAUUGUGCAAGUGCUGAAACCAGCAACCCAUCAUGACAACUGCAUGAAAAAGUAACUUUGUGGGACACUCUUCAUGCUUUUUUAGUGAUUGCUGAGUUCUUUCCACUAUUCCUUGUCAACAAUUUCUGGGCACAGUUCACACCUAGGUAUAGUCUAUUAGACGCAAAUACUAGUAGCAGUUCACAGAAUAAAGAUGAACUGAAGACAGAAGUGGAGGACCAAAGAUACUCUAUUUUGCCUUACAUAUCAUUCUCGUUAAGCAGCUUCUUUAGUAGUCAUAUCUAUUUAGAAAUUCGAAAUGGAUAAUUAAGUAAUACAACUUGACAUGAUUAUACCAAGGCACCAAAAUUCUGUGGUCGUGUGCUGCACCUUUCUCUAAUGUAAAAAUAAUCACACCACGUCAUUCAAACUACUGCAGGGAUGCUUUAAGGCCACUGGUAUAUAUAUUUCUAGAAUGCGGGGUCUCAGGUUGAAGAGGAUAUAAUACACAUGAGCAGAUUUAUGCAUUUGAUGGUGAAACGACAAAUGAGUUUGGUGGGUACCUUCUUUAGGUUGAAAUGUGAAGAUCACGGAGAGAAGCGGCUGAAAUACACAUGAGCAGAUUUAUGCAUUCGUAACGAGCAUCCAAAUCUUUACGAAUGAGGGGCCUGUUCGCUUCAGCUGGCUUAUCAGCUACCAAACAGUGUUUUCCUCUCACAACAAAUCAGCCGUUUCAGCUUUUCAGCCGGCUUAUAAGGCCCUGUUUGGUAACACACCCCUAAACUUUAGUACCUGUCACAUCGGAUGUUUGGAUACUAAUUAGAAGUAUUAAAUAUAGUCUAAUUAUAAAACUAAUUGCACAGAUAGAGUCUAAUUCGCGAGACGAAUCUAUUAAGCCUAAUUAGUCCAUGAUUUGACAAUGUGGUGCUACAGUAACCAUUUGCUAAUGAUGGAUUAAUUAGGCUUAAUAGAUUCAUCUCGUGAAUUAGUAUAGGGGUUCUGCAGUUAGUUUUAUAAUUAGCUCAUGUUUAGUCCUCCUAAUUAGCAUUCGAACAUCCGAUGUGACCCUCCUAAAGUUUAGUACCUCGUAUCCAAACACCCCUUGAGCUGAAGCGAACAUGUCCGAGGUUGUCCAGUCUCUUCUUCAGGGAUGAAGGAAGCGGCUGUAUAGCUGGACAUGAUGUAAUUUGAAGAUCAUGGAGAGAUGAGUAUGCUUGUGGCCCAUCGGGCAAGGAUGCCAGGCUUUUGCAUUCACAAAGACUGAGGCGUUCCAGGGUUGAAAACUCUCCCAAGCAAGAUUCCAGUGAUCUCAACUCUGGGCAUACCGAAAUUAGUAGGCGUUGGAGUCCAUCCAGCUGGCCUGAUAGGAGUUGGAGUUUGCCACACUCCCAAAUUACUAUUUCCCUGAGGGAUGGGGGAAGGUUGAGAACCUCUGACAAGCUUUCGCACCGCUCUAUAUAUAGAUAUUCAAGACAUGGAAGUAGUAAGUGAUCCCGGGCAGCGCUGGGCCCUUGAUUUAAUGUUGGCUCGUCCUGUUGCUCUCCGAAUAUGGACUUAAGCUUAGGACAGCCGCGCAAAUCCAUCGUCUUGAGAGAUGCGGGGACGUUGAAGACCUCUACCAGACUUUCACAAUCCUCUAUGUGUAGAGACUCGAGACGGGGCAGAACUUGGCUCCUUUCUGAUAUUGGUUGGCCAGGAGCAGCUUUCGCGUACCCAAUCAGACCACGGCACUUCUUAAUGGAAAGGUGCCUCAAGGAUACCAAGCUAUGGAACUCUUUUUCCGGCCAGUAGACAAGCGCAUGGUUGAUCUUCUUAAUUUUCAAACGUUGGAGCUGGACAAAACAUGUCCAUAGUGCCAGUGGACUUGAGGGGAACAGAAAGUUGCAGCCACUUAGCUUCAGACUUGUCAGAGGGUAUUUAUUACUGGCGUCCAGCAGCUCAAAGGCACUAUGCCCAGUUGGUAAAGUAGUUUCUGUGAAUUCGACUGAUAACACCAGUUCGGACAAUGAGUUAAUAAAUGUAGGCACUAUUAUUGCUGCCAGUUGGCUGCCAUGUAUUUGUAAUACACCGAGCUUUGGUGCUUCUAUCACCCCCGGUAGAGUUGUCAACUUGGGACAUUUCUUUACAGACAGGGUCUCAAGGUCAGGGAAUCUCUGCUCUUCCAUCAUCCCCAAGCUCUUAAAACUAUCUAAGUCUUCUAACAAGAGCUUCUUUAAGUUUGGAAAUGCUGACCAUGCUGUAACAUCACUAUGGUCAAAUGAUUCUCCCUGAGAUGUAGCUGAUGGUAAUGCUGCCAGUUCGGGGCACUUUUCGAUUGAUAACUCUUCAAGAUAUGGAAAUAUUAUCUGCUGCCCUUGAGUUGCUUCAGCAGCGCCCCCCCACCUCUGAAACUUUGCUAAGCAUUCUAAUUCGAGUACCUUCAGGACUGGAAAUGCCGACCAAAGCUUCCUCUCGUCUUGCUCCUUGUAAUCUCCACAGCACGAUCCUCCGAGAAGUGCUGGCCCUGGUAAUGCUGUAACCUUUCCACAAUUGCUAAUAAACAACCUCUCAAGUUGAGGAAACAUUAUCUGUUCUCCUUGGACCCAGUCAAAUUCCGGCAGUUUGUCCAGCGUAAGCUUCUUCAGAUUAGGAAAGUGAAAGAAUGUACCACCACUGCACAAGCUUUCCAGUUUUUUCAAUCUUUCCAGACGAAGAACUUGUAGAGCUGGUACACUCCCAAGUGGAGGAAGCUUAUGGGACUUGUUACAGUUAGAAAGAUGAAGCUCCACCAUUUUUGUCAGCGUACCCAUCCACGUUGGGAAACUGGUUCCUUGGUAAUGCUCUAUCCUCAGAGCCUCUAGUCCAGGAGGAGCUUCGAGACCCUCCAGCACCUUAUGACAAUGUAGUUUCUCCUCCUGACUACCUGUCCACGUCCAGUUUAAUGACAAUUCCCUGAGCUCCUUUUUAUUUCCAAGAUUGGCCUGUUUUGCAUCUGCUGCAUUUGUCACAUUUUCGAGUUGACUAAGCAGUAGUGGACCACCAAGGUUGUUUAAAUGCUGCAGCUCUGCAAUACUACUGCAAUCAGGGCCUGCACCCACUACAAAAUUUGUAAGUGUUUGCAGGGAAGUGAGAUGUCCAACCUCUGGCGGCAUGCGCUUCAACUCCCAACAUUCGUGAGUGUAGAGGUGACGGAGGGCAGUCAUGUACUUUAUUCCCUUUGGAAGCCGGCCAAGUUUGUGACAGUGCGCCACAUUCAACGUUUGCAGAUUGUACAAAAUGCUGAUAUCUUCCGGAAGUGCCACUAUAUGACUCCACGAGAUAUCAAGAUACCUCAAGAGAUGUAGCUGCUUUGGUUUCAGUAGGAUUGUGCUAUUAUUCUGACAAAGUUGCAAUGCACGCAGAGAGCUGUAUUUUGCGAGAUGCUGCAGGGAACUUUCUAUGCGCUGACCACAUAGUAGUGUUUGCAUAGCUGGAGACCUUAUAUUCAGAGAAUCAUUCAAAACGGCCUCUGGCUUGCCACAUGAUAACAAUAUAUGACGACAAGUGUUCUGAAGAAACUCAUCACUCUGCUUUGGCUUCUCAGUUAUGGUAGCAACUUCUUUGCCCAUGACAGAUAGUGCCACAUCGUGCAUAAGAUCAUGGAUUUUACAUGUACUUGUAGACAAAUACCAAUACACAUCUUCCCAUGCUUUCCCAUUGACUUGCUUCACAUCUUGAAAGAAUGACCUUGAGACCAGCUCACUGAAAAUCUGUUUACCAAUUGUUUCAUGACGAACAUCUUUUUGUUCAGGAAUAAAGUCAUUUGCCAUCCAUAGUUGGAUCAGCAUUUCCACGUUAAUCUCAUGGUCCUUGGGAAACACAGCACAGAAAGCAAAGCACUGCUUCAUGUGUGAUGGCAGGUCAUCGUAACUGAGCUUGAGAAUAGGCAGGAUUUGAUCAUCCUUGUUAUGGGCGAUGCUUUUGCUAAGCACAGCCUUCCAUUCUUCCGUUAUCUUGCCACGUAGUACAGAUCCUAGUGCCUUCGCUGCCAAUGGAGACCCUGCACAUCUCUCAACAACGUCAUCAACCAAGCCAGCUAAAUCAGUUGGUUUUCUCUCUUGCGAAAUGAAUGCUUUAGCCUCAAUAAUUUCCUUGAUGAAUUUAUUGUCCAAAUGUGCAAUGUCAUGUCCUUUAACUGUACCCAUGAGUUGAGCUAUUUUUUUAUCACGGGUUGUCGUUAGUAUGGCGCUACCAACAUCACCAUGUUUAAGACAGACAUUCAGCUUGUUCCACUUGUUAUCAUCCUUAUUCCAGACGUCGUCCAAUACAAGAAGGUACCUGUUACAAAUAAUCAUGCCAUUAGUGCGUUUCUAUUUGAGCACGUCUUUUUCUUAAGUUAUGUGAGAUGUGCAAGUGCCGUGCAUAUCCAGAGGGCAACUUGCCAGUGGUGAGGUAUUGUUGUCUUCUUGAUUUCAAUGCUGGUUGCUGGGACCUCAAAACAAGAGGCGUGGUUAGCUUUUGCAGCUCCUUAGCGUGAGUCGAGGGAGCAGAAAAAGAUGAAAUGUUUUUUUUACUGCUGACCUUUUGAAGAUCUAUUCACCUAAAAUUUUCGAUCAAAUGAUUCUAAAAUUUUCUAUUCACAUGUGAAUGUUCAAGAUCGGAUGUUUUGCCUUAAUUAAAAAAAAUGUUGGAUGUUGCCUUCUAUGUGUACGACUUGACAUGAUGUGUGCGUGUACAUUUUUCAUAGUUUCUUCAAGUGUAUGAAGUUCACUAGCACUAGCAAUUAAAAGUCUAUGUGGAUCUAAGUUUGAAGUUGAAUUUUGUGUAUGUAGUUUGCAUGUGCUUUACUUGUCCUUUUUAAUUAUGUGUUAUUCUCAAGGGCAAUGCACAUAUUUUGAGCGUGUGUGAGGGGAAAAAAACCCGUGUGCGUGUUUGAGAUGAGUGAAUCAACAUCAAUUUAAUAAAUUCUAAAAGUACCUCUUUCCAGCAAGUUUUCUUUGAAGGUUCUGCAAGGCACUCUCCAGGUUGCUCUCAGAAGCGUUGCAGAUCUUAUUGGCAAGGUUACAAACAUCGAAAUCAUCAUCUGACACGCAGACCCACUUCAUUAGUUGGUGGAAAUGCUUCUUCACUUGAGGGUCAUUAUAGAUGAGCUGAGCUAGGGUGGUCUUGCCCAACCCACCCAUUCCAACAAUGGGAACGACCAUCGGAUCCUUAUUGUUAGCUUGUUCUUUGACCAACAUUCUAACAAUCUUUUGCUUCUCUUCAUCUCUGGAUCUGCUGACAAUCUCUGGGUCAACCAUGGUGGAGUCAUUCUCACGCAGAUAAUUUAUCUGAACCUGCGCUUGUGGCUGUUUGUCGAACCCAAAGUUGCGCAUAUGCUCGACAAGGGCCUCAGUAUCGCGCACAAUCUUGCGAAGCUUGUUGCCCAUCUUGUAACGGAACAUGAUGCGGUUGCCCAUCCCGAGCUCGAUGUAGCGCCCCUCUUUCUUGGCUUGACGACGGAGGGCCUCAUAGUUGAAUUCAUCGAAGACUUGGAUGGCCUCGUAUGCCGCCACCUUAAGCUUCUCAAGCCAGGGUCUGAUUGCUUCUCUGGAGGUUGCCUGCUUCUCUGCGUCAGUGAUCUUUUCCAGGAUGGCCGGCAGCAUGACCUUGAGCUUCUCAUGCUGCUCCUCCAUGCCCUCCAUCACCUUGUACUGGUCUAGGAGGUAGCUGGACGCCUUCUCCUUCACCAGGGACAGAAGUGGCCCGACCACCAUGCUGCCCACAAGCUCGGCCAUUGGAGCAGUCAGAGCUCACGAGAACGCACGCUGAGAAAUGAGAACACACUUUGGAGUGGAGAAGAGGAUGGUUUGCGGAAGCGCUUUGGAGGUAAAUGGAGACCAACGCCAAGCACUGACCUUCUUGGGCGCCUAGGCUGACAGAGCAGCAGUAGCAGAGGCGGGGCAGUAGCGGUCGCAGCGGAGGGGCCGGCGGCGUACGGGAAGAGAAGAUAGAGAAGAGGAUAUGUUUCUGCAAGACUUGCAAUGGCAGAAGGAGAAGACUAGCAUGGAAGACUUGUGCUCAGCUCACAACAGGAGCCAUAAAAUAAGCAAAGGAUCAGAAGAUGAUAGACAAGUCCAAGCUAUUUUUAUAAGCUGAUGAUGACAGGUGUGGAUGCUGUUGGCUGUGCUUGUGAAGCUGCAGUGUUUCUGUUCACAUCUUAAGGUAAUACUCCUACUUAAUAGUCACAUCCUGGUUUAGUUAUGCUAAUGAUGGAUUGAUCACUGAACAAACGUGUUUACCGGUGCACAGUGUUCAGGUAGCCAUGUGUGUUCAAAGACCAUAUAAGGUCAUGUUUAGUUUUCCUCAAAAUCCCAAAUUUGACACUAUGCAAAGAAGAUUCCUCAUCACAUUAAACUUGCGAUACAUGCAUGGAGUACUAAAUGUAGAUGAAAUCAAAAACUAAUUGCACAGUUUUGUUGUACUUUGCGAGACGAAUCUUUUGAGCCUAAUUAGUCAAUAUUUGGACAAUAAUUCACAAAUACAAACGAAAUGCUACAGUUGCGCAUUUAUGACAAACUCCCAACUUUGACACUCCCAAAUUUGGAACUAAACAAGGCCUAAAUGUUCUGCAUUCUGGAGCAGCCUUUUGCAUUUCCUCGGGUUGCGCUCACAGGGAAAAAGCGAUACCAUUUAUCUAUUGGUCGAGUCACAGUCUUCCAUUUCUUCCACCCAACUUUGGCACUAUGCAAAAAGAAAAUUCUCCAUCACAUCAAAUUUGCGGUACAUGCAUGGAGUACUAAAUGUAGACGAAAUUAAAAACUAAUUGCACAGUUUUGUUGUACUUUGCGAGACGAAUCUUUUGAGCCUAAUUAGUCAAUAUUUAGACAAUAAUUCACAAAUACAAACGAAACACUACAGUGUCGCAUUUAUGGCAGAAUGCUAAUUUUGCCACUCCCAAAUUAGCAAGUAAACAAGGCCCGAUGACUUGGACAAUAAUGAUGUGUACGGUGUACCUACCACUUUUAUUUCGUCGACAAGGUCUCUUGAAUUUAUUUUAUAAAAUUAUUAAUGUGUUAAAAUUUAACUAGUGCCUCACCUUUUCAAAAUGGCACGAUUUGCUCGGUUCCACGAGCUAAAAUUUAGAUAUCCAAUGUUUAGAUACUAAUUAGGAGUAUUAAACAUUUAGACUAAUUACAGAACCAAUUGCAGUUAAUUCACGAGACGAAUCUAUUAAACCUAAUUAAUUCAUGAUUCACGAGACGAAUCUAUUAAACCUAAUUAAUUCAUGAUUACCAGGUUGCUAAUCCGAAGCAUGACAGUAAGAUCAUUGAUAUAUCCGAACCUGAGAACGCACGCUGAGAAAUGAGAACACAGGGAAACACUUUGGAGUGGAGAAGAGGAGUCUGCGGAAGCGCUUUGGAGACCAACGCCAAGCACUGACCUUCUUGGGGCGCUUAAUUUAUUGGUUGUAUCGAAAGCCGUGAUGAUAUUAUUUUGUAUUACGGCUUUCCAGGUGAACUAUUAUAUACAAGUCGCCUUAAAGCAUCAUUACGGCUUUAGAUAGUAAUAUCAAUAAUAUCAUCACGGCUUUCCAUGUGCCAUCACGAGGGUACAGCCUGGUUCACGCCCGUGCCGCUAGGUCCCAUGGCAACGGUGUUGCGUUGUCAGACUUCUGAUCAUUCACUUCAAAAUUCCAACUUUGGCACUAUGCAAAAAGAAGAUUCCCCAUCACAUUAAACUUGUGCUACAUGCAUGGAGUACUGAAUGUAGAUAAAAUUAAAAACUAAUUGCACAGUUUUGUUGUACUUUGCGAGAAGAAUCUUUUAAGCCUAAUUAGUCAAUAUUUGGACAAUAAUUCACAAAUAUAAACGAAACGAUACAGUGUUGCUAUAGUAAUUUUGGCACCCAAAAUUGGGCAACUAAACACGGCCUCAAUUUCCAUGUUCACCGUCACAACACAGUUGAACAGCCACGGAAUAUUCAAGAGGCAAUAAUAGAAUGCAGGAAUCAGUCACUCUCUGUACCAGCUGCACGAGUCACUGUCAUGUGGACUGAAACAAUAAUCGGCGAAGGAUCAUUGAUGAAGCAGAUGUGGCCUCAUUAUUGCUCCCAGCGUCCUUGCUGAGGGAGAGCCGUCAACAACAGCGGGUCUACAUGCAUGUGCUGCCUUGUCACUAGUAGGUCCCAUGGCAGUACUAACAACAGUGUUGCGUUGUCAGCGUGCGAGGACUUCUGGCGCCACUUCUGUGGACGGUAGUGCCUGGUUAGGGCGAGCCAAUGAGCUGGCAUAUGCAUGUGUCGCCUUGUCACUACCUCAACGUUGCAGGUGUUGCACGGUUACUGUCACGUACGAUCAAUCAUGAUAACAAAUAAAAUAGAAAGCUAAGGACAUCUUUAAAAAGGAAUCUCAAAAUGUGGGGAUAGGAAAAACGUAGGAACGCAUGAUAUUUGCAAUUCUAUAAAAAUUGAUAAUGUAUAAAAAUUUGUAAUUGUGUGUUUGGAUGCAACAUAGGAAAAACAAAGAAACGAGAAAAGCGAUAGACACAAAGAAGAGUUUUCAAGAGGUUAGACAUCAUGUUAGAUUUUCUCCAAAAUUCCUAUGGAUUAAACCAUUUCAUACGAAUUUUGAAGGAUUAAAAGGUUGGCCAAUCCUUUGUUCCAAAGGGACAUAAGAAAAAUUCCUAUAAAAUUCAAAUCCUACAAAAUUUCUACAUGUAUCCUAUAUUCCAAAGAGGGUCUAAGAGGGGUCGGGCUCCAUGCGAGAGAUUGGGCUUGGAUGAGAGGUUUGAAGGAGGAAGGAAGGGAAGAGUAAGAAAAAUCUUGAGCUCGAAUACUAGACAACACGCAUCUAACAUCUCUUAAAAUCAGAUAAAUUAACCUCUUUUAUCUAGUCAAAGCAGUUUAGUGAUUUCAUUGUGAAGGACCGAAACGGCGACCAGAGGGGGGUGAAUGGGCGCAAGUUCAAAAAAUAAAGUUUAACACUUCCCCUCCUCUCAAAACCUAAUUAAAUCACGUUUUUCAAAUCUGGACAGAAUACUGUUUCCUUAAUAAAAAAGAUAUGGACAAAAAUCCGUAAGACCGAUCAACCUAAAAAUUUGACAGAAAAAUUCAUACAAAAUUAUGCAACUAACCCAACUGGAAUCAUGUCAAUCGGACUUUCGGAUCUUGAGAUAUUAAAGGAACAAGCAGACUGUACCAGACAAUGACGAGAAUAGAUUAAGCUCUAAUAAGAUGCCCUAGCAUGAUUUUAGAUGGAUCAAAUCAAUCUUAACCUCAGCACAACAUGACGCACAAGCACAUAGAUUAAUUCACUAAUAUGAAAAAUUGAGACAAGUAAUGUGCUUACAAAAGUGCAUCUAGCCUCCGCCCAAACAUCCUCCCUCUCUUAAUUGGAGAGAUCAAUAAAAAUCCCUCACUUAGAUUGAAACCCUAGGCUAGACUAGAGAGAGAUGAACAGGACCUGCGACGAUGAACAGUACCGCGCGUGAACAGUAAUCGCGAGUUACUGUAGCGCCGAGUACUGUAGCGCCGCCUGUAGCAAAAGGGCUCAAACUCUCUCAACCCUAGGUGCCACGUAUUUAUAUCCUUAGGGUGGCACGGCCUAUUUACACAUAACCCCCUACGCUAAAUUUACGCUAAAUAAAUUUAACGUAGGUGCGUAAAUUCCAGUUACGUCCUCCAUGACAAAUUCCGCGAUGUCCGCGAUUCCUCCAUCUCCGUGAUGUGAUCCUCGCGAUGUCGCCGCACGACCAUCUGAAAUCGUAUCGCAAUCGCCGGAAUUUCCAUCUUCGGCCAACGUGUGGCGGAACCGCCCAACUUAAGCUGGUUUAAGUGCGCCUAAUCGCUGUCGGAGCAGCGAUUAUCCGAAACGCACCUAAAACAGCAUAAGUCCGGUAGUCCGUCGAGUGUCCCUAGGACUCCUCAAAAGAUCCACGGCUUGUUUCAUCACCAUACAUCAGGAUAAUAUCCGCGAUGGGAUAAUAUCAACAAAUAUUACAUUUUUACAUACGUAAUUAAGAGGUACGAGUUAUUACAAGACUUCAAGUUGAAACAAACUUAGUGAUGCAUAGUUAGACAAGCUCUAAGAUUAAACAUAAGUAGUUUAGGAGAAGAUGCGUCGAUAACGGUUUUCUAGAGUAUUGAGAGACUCAGGUCAAUACUCUAGGUCUUCGGGGUCUCCUCUUCGACAGCUUCUUGGGUAGCUUCUGAAAGAUAACCACAAGGGGAAAACCCUGAGUACGGGGUACUCAGCAAGUCUUACCCGACUAACCAAUAUAAUAGUUUUUCUUUGGAAUGCAUGUCAGCCUUUGGGUGUGCUUGGUUGACAUGAUUUUUGCCGAAAAAGCUUACUAUGAGUGAGGCCUUAGUUUUGUCUUUUAAUUUAGUUAAGUUGUUACCUAACCAUUCUAGGUGAUAACAGAAGUAAAAACAAUCACAGCUGUUGAUUCAUACAAUACUUGGCAACAGAAAAUUUUAUAUCACAUGAGUUCAUGCUACGAAGCUCAACAGUGAUCAAGUGCAUUCAUAACCGAGAAUUGCGGCGAUCCGGAUCAAUUUACAUCCUGCAGGAGAGUACCCCGAUCACCAGCAUUAUACGACUGUCCAGGUCGUACUAGCAACCUCUCGGUUAGUAAAGUCAAUGAUUAGGAACACAACUACCCGGACCCAGGGAUGCACCCCCACAUGGGACCCCACGUCUGGCCCGAUCUCCAUGUGAGUUUCAGGCUACACCCCUGCCAAUCUCCAGCACGUCAAAUGCGGGUACGAAGCAUUCCUGAUCAUAGAAUUUACUAACCUACUGGGCUUUACUGGUCCCAUACCCAGUAAGUGAUCAGAUGUUAUCACUUGAUCAGCGGUUAAGACACGGCCCGGUCCUUAAGCAGAUUAAUAAGCAGACAGAACUACAUCUCUAGCUUCUGUCUGGUUCUAUACUUCAAACUAUCUUUCCUAAACAGCAUGUAUGAUCAAGAGUUUUCCCUAAGGUUGGUAAACCAAGCAUGUAAGCGAGUAAGCAAUUCUAGACUUGGGUAGUUUCUAGGAUUUGAACAAGUGGCAAAGAUGUCCCUAAUUCAAGGCAUGAUCAUACACAAGAAUAGGUUUCAUCCAACUCCUAGACCUAGUGCAUACAAUAACCAAUUAACCUACAACUAGUCACAUGAAAUAACGACUCCAAAAUAGAUAGGUAUAAAUGCACCGGGGCUUGCCUUGAUCGUUAAAAAGAUUAGUAGACACCGACGGAUUCGCUUCACAGGGAACAAAUUCAAACACCUCGUCGGACUCCAAAGGUCCUUCUGAAAAUUCCCAGUAAUCCUCUUCUGGCGCUUCUGGAUCUAUGGUACAUACAUGCAGGGGUUAGAAUGCAAACUUUUUAAAUAACAGACUUUACAACUUUCCUUCAUGAUAAAGUUGCAAGCCAACAAAGACUAUACGACUUAUCAUGAAUAAGUUGUAAGUCAACACACAAAAGAAAUCUAAGAAGAUUAACCUCUAUUUUUAUUUUCUUAAUUACCCCUUCCUAUAGCUUUUUCUUUUAUUUUUAGAAAAAGUGGUAAUUACUUUCUAACUUGAACAUCUAAUUUCCUAUGAGUUAAGAAUUAUUUGUGAUUGAUAAAGUAUUAUUCAUAUUUUUAUACAUUUUAUAAAUACUAAGUAUUUACUUAAUUACCUUAAAAGGAAGGCAUUAAAUAAAUACCUAAUUUUUUUAUUAUUUUCCUAGGGUGUAAAAAUUUUAAUGCAUAAAGGAAAAUAAAACAAACCUAACAAAAUUGGUUUCACUAAUUUUGGACACUCCUACAAAUUUCUGUGAUUAAAAUGGUGUAAAACGAAUUUAAACGGAUUAUUUUGCUAAAGAAAUCUAAUUUUUCCCCGAAAUUCCCCCGGAAAACUUUUCUCACCCACCCACACUCUACCCUCACACGCGAACACUGGGCCUCCCCACGGCGCGGACCCCACCUUCCUGUUCAAUCUACCCGCCGGCCUUAACCUCCUUCCGACGGGCCUCGCGGGCCGAUUUCCUCUUCCCUUAUCUCCUGGUAGCCCAGCACCGGCCCACGGCCCCUUUUUCCUUUCCUUCCUUUCUCACGCGACGCCGGCCUGCGUCGCUGCCCUGGGCCUCCGGCCUUUUCUUUCCCGGUCACCCGCGCGCACCACUGGGCCUCAACACGCCGGCCCAAGACGGCCGCACCGCUCUGGCCCGCGCCUUCCUCCCCUUCUCUCUUACUGACAUGCGGGCCCGGUGCACAGCACCUUCUUCCUCCUCCCGCCAAAAGGGCGACCGGAACAGGGGGCGGCGCGGCUCGCCGGCCGGCGCCCUCCCGGCGGCGGGUCUUGACGACGACACCAACCCUAACCCUACACGACCUCGCGCGCGGCGACAGCUCCCCUGGGGACAACCGGAGCUACCUCCUCCACGGCGACGGGCGGCAACACCCACGGCCGGCCAUCGUUACCCGUGACAACUACUUAACUGACUCAACCGACUACUUCUACUCCAUCCUGAAACCCUAAGAACUCGACCACGACUGCUCAAGGAAGAAGAAAAGUAGUGCAAGGUGGUUCUCACCGUGAGUGGGCGGCGCGACGGCGGCGGACAGAAGCGGCGGCGAUACAAGGUGUCACGGCGAAGAAGCUGGGCAACAAGUGGGUAGGGCUACUGGUGGGGUGUAGGCGGAGGUGUGGACGGAAGGAAUCGACGGGAGCGGCGGCGUGGAGGUGGAAUUUUGCUUGGCGGCGGUGUCUGGUAGAAGAGGCACGGGCGGCGGUAAAAAGAGCGGCGGUGAAAACGGCGGCGCGGGAGCGGUAGAUAUUCAAGGGUUUCACCGCGCGCAUGGGUGACACCGUGGCCUACCCGUAGGUGUAUGUGGCGAGGAGGUGGCCUAGCUUAGCUGUGCUGGCGGACGACCGACGACGGCGGCGGCGACACGUCUGGAGUUCCUGUCACUGCUUCUCCCGCCCGUGAUCUUCAGAUGCCAAUCGUGGUUGAUCCUUGAUCCAACGGCACACCGAUGUUUAAAGGAAGUUACAGAUAAACUUGAAAUUUCCAUCUUUUGUUUUGACUUCACCCCGAGAUAAUCAUCAAACCGGUGGAAUUUGGAGAUGUUGCUCGAGUUGAUUCUGAAUCGACUGAAUCAAAAGUUCAGUUCGUCAGUCACCGACAGUAGUGCCGACUUCAACUUGCCAAUCCAAUUCAGUGGCCUAAAUCUGGCGUUUCCAACUCAACUUUUACCCAAACAUGCUCUAUAUUGUCCCAAUGUUCCAUUUUGAUCAUAAACAAGUACCCUCCUUGAUCUAAUUUGCUCUGAAAUUGAAUUCAAAGUUGAUGCCUAGCUGCUGUUCAGACUUAGGCAUUUUUCAGAGUUUCAGUUAACUCGUGAUAAUGUGCUGACUUUGGGCUGGAAUUUGACUCCCUUCCUCUUACUGAUCCUGGCCAACAAUACAUGAUUAUUGUAGUCCAAAGUCUAUAUUUCAACAUGGUAUAGUUGUUCUGGUGCACUUAGUUGCAAAUUCUUCCAGAAUUAAAUUUCCAAAUCAGACUCUGAGCUGUUUUUACUGAAUCCUGUUGUCGGACGAGGAAUAGUAAACGGCUUUUUCUUCUUCUUUUCUCUGAUUCUUCUGAGAGAUUUAGCACUAGCUUGGUUCCAAAUUUUUGAUCCUUUAGUCCUAAACACUCUUAUACUUGUACUCCACACAUUUGACAAAUUUUUCUGAAUUUCAAAUUUGAAAUUCAAAUUUCGGUCAAAAUUUGGCCGAAUUUGACCCUUUUGCCAUUUUUCCUUCUUUUUCUUUUGAAUUUUCUUCUGAAUUUUUCAUGGUUACUAUAUUAUUAUGAAUGGCAUUUAUUACAGCCUCUCCCCCUUAACAGAAUCUCGUCCCGAGAUUCCUGGGGGUAGAUCCUUGUUUUUUUUUUUGAAUGGAAAGGGAACUGCGUCAGGUCAUUUAUCCUUUCUUUUUCUGUACAAGGAUAGUGGGGUGGUGGUCCUUGUUCAUUUGUCCCUGACGGUUUCAAACAACUCCGGAUAUUUAGACUCUAGGUCUUCCGCUUUUUCCCAAGUAGCUUCGUCCGGAGUAUGAUUUUUCCAUUGCACUUUAUAAAACGUGAUACUCCGAGUUCGGGUAUCGCGUGUCUUUUGAUCCAUAAUUCUAAUAGGUUUCUCCUCAUAUGUUAGAUCCGGUUCGAGCUCAAUUUCUGGAUCCUCCAAAAUUUCUUCUGGAACUCUUAGGCAUUUCUUAAGCUGGGAUACAUGAAAUACAUCAUGUAUAGAGGUAAGUUGAUCAGGCAACGAUAGUUUAUAUGCCACGGGACCUUUUUGUUCUAGAAUUUCAUAGGGGCCAAUGUAUCUCGGGGCUAGCUUACCUUUUAUUCCAAAGCAUUGUACGCCUUUCAUUGGGGAUACUUUUAAGUAUACAAAAUCUCCGGCAGAAAAUUCCAAGAACCGUCUUCUUUUAUCGGAAUAACUCUUUUGCCGGGAUUGAGCUAUUUCCAAAUGCUUGCGAAUUUUCUGGAUCUUUUCCUCGGUUUCCAUAACCAAGUCUGAUCCUAGAUGUGUCCUUUCUCCUACUCCUGACCAAUUUAAAGGAGUUCGGCAUCUUCGACCAUACAAGGCUUCGAAUGGUGCCAUCUUAAUGCUAGCUUGAUAGCUAUUAUUAUAGGAGAACUCAGCUAGGGGCAAACAUUCGUCCCAUAGCUUAGAGAAAGUAAGGACACAUGCUCUUAACAUAUCUUCCAAAAUUUGAUUAACCCUUUCUGUCUGUCCUCCAGUUUGAGGAUGAUAAGCAGAACUUCUAAUGAGGGUAGUACCCAUGUCCUCUUGCAGUUGCUCCCAGAAUCUGGAAACAAACUGGGAACCUCGAUCGGAAAUAAUGGUUUUUGGCACUCCGUGCAAAGAUACAAUCCGGGCUAUAUAGAGUUUGGCAUAUGUCGUCACGUGGUAAGUAGCCUUAACUGGAAUAAAAUGAGCUGACUUAGUAAGACGGUCGACAAUAACCCAAAUGGAAUCAUACCCCUUAGAAGUGGUAGGUAAUCCUACUAUGAAAUCCAUAGAAAUAUCUUCCCAUUUCCAGAUAGGAAUCUCUGAGGGUUGUAACAGACCUGCCGACUUCUGUAAUAUGGGUUUAACUCUUUGGCAAGUGUCACAUUCUGACACAUAUCUUGCAAUUUUUGGUUUCAUUUUGGCCCACCAAAAUCUUUGCUUUAAAUCUUGGUACAUUUUAUUGGUUCCGGGAUGAAUGGAGAACUUGGAUGAAUGUGCUUCUUCUAGAAUUAAUCUUCUCAGGUUUUUACCCUCCGGAACUACUAUCCGGUUCUUGAAAUAUAGUCCUCCGUCUUCUUCUUGAUGAAGUUCAGGAACCUUCCCCUUGGCUUUUUGCUGAUAAAGUGUUUUAAUCCAUGGGUCUUCUUUUUGGGCCGUUAUGAUUCUUUCUUUUAGGGUAUCUUGAAUCAUAACAUUCUGGAGGGUACCUGGUUUUACUAUUUCCAAACUUAAUUCUCCCAUUUCUUCGCACAGAGUCUUCAAGUUAGACUGAAUGGUCGUGCAGUGGCAUUGGGCCUUUCUGCUUAAGGCGUCGGCCACCACGUUAGCUUUACCAGGAUGGUAAUGAAUUUCUAGUUUAUAAUCUUUAAUCAGCUCUAGCCACCGCCUUUGCCUCAUAUUCAAGUCCAUUUGAGUGAAUAUAUACUUCAAGCUCUUGUGGUCAGUAAAGAUACGACAUUCACUACCUAAAAGAUAGUGUCGCCAUAUUUUUAGUGCAUGCACUACGGCAGCAAGUUCUAAGUCAUGAGUAGGGUAAUGCUCUUCAUGACGUUUCAAUUGGCGAGAAGCAUAAGCAAUAACCCUGCCUUCUUGCAUUAGAACACACCCGAUGCCUGUUCCUGAGGCAUCACAGUAUACAUCAAAGGGUUUCUCUAUAUCAGGUUGAGCUAACACUGGGGCUGUAGUCAAUAACUUUUUCAAGAUUUGAAAUGAUUCUUCACACUCUGGUUUCCAUUCAAACUUUGUAUCCUUCUUUAAUAACUCAGUGAUUGGCUUAGAAACUUUAGAGAAAUUGGGAAUGAACCUACGGUAAUAACCAGCCAUUCCCAAGAAGCUUCUUACUUCAUGAACAGAAGUGGGUGAUUUCCACUCCAAUAUAUCCUUGACUUUUCCGGGAUCUACUUCAAUUCCUUUUUCGGACAGUAUAUGCCCAAGGAAUGGAACUUUCUUCAACCAAAAUUCACACUUACUAAAUUUGGCAUAUAACUGGUGUUCCCGGAGUCUAUUUAGAACAAUGCGCAAAUGUUGCGCAUGUUCCUCUUCAUUUUUAGAAAAGACAAGGAUAUCAUCUAUAAAGACAACCACAAAUUUGUCCAGUUCCGGCAUGAAUACUGAAUUCAUGAGAUACAUAAAAUGCGCUGGGGCAUUUGUCAAUCCGAAAGACAUAACCAAAUACUCAUAUAGUCCAUACCGGGUGGAAAAGGCUGUUUUUGGUAUGUCCUCGGGUUUUAUCUUAAUCUGGUGGUAUCCUGACCGAAGGUCGAUUUUUGAAAAGACCUUAGCUCCAGACAACUGGUCGAACAACAAGUCAAUCCGUGGCAGUGGAUAUUUAUUUUUGAUGGUUACCGCAUUCAAGGGACGGUAAUCCACACAUAGCCUUAAGGUACCAUCCUUCUUCUUAACAAAGAGAGCUGGGCAACCCCAUGGUGAAGUACUGGGUCGGACAAAACCUUUAUCCAACAAUUCUUGGAGUUGUGUUUUUAAUUCUGCUAGCUCUUUAGGUGGCAUUCGAUACGGUCUUCUAGAGAUAGGGGCGGUGCCGGGUUCUAAUUCAAUAGUGAAUUCUACCGCUCUGUCAGGCGGUAGCCCAGGCAAAUCUUCUGGAAAUACAUCUAGGAACUCAUUAACAACAGGAAUAGAUUCUAGAGUCACUGCUCUAGUCUUUUUGACCAUUUGGUCCAAACAGGGUUGAACGGGUAACUGGAGUUCGAAAGAAUGGCCCUGGUCAUCUUUUAGGUUAACAACCCGUGUAACCACAUUAAUUUGAACUUCAUGUGCUUUCAUCCAAUUUACCCCCAAAAUAAUAUCUAUUCCUUGAUCUUCCAAAAUUAAAGGAUAAGCUCCCACCUUAUUUCCUUCUAGGUUUAAAAUCACAUUGCGAGCUACUUGAUUGGUAUUCUGUGUGGCACCAGUAGCUUGAAUAGCAUAUUUGACAUCUAAGGUAUGAACUUCUAGUUGAUGUUGCGUGACAAACUCUUUACUUAUAAAAGUAUGUGAUGCACCGGAAUCAAACAAAACCAUAGCAGGAUAAUUGUUAACAAGGUACGUACCUGCUAGGAUUGGUUCUCCUUCUGGAAUUUCUUCUACAGUCAUAUAGUGAGCCUGUCCUGUCUUGGUAUUAACAAACUUGCGACGGACAAACUUUUGUCCAGAGCCUUGGGCCGAGGUUUGAGCCUUUAAGUUCGCGUUUCCCCCAAUUUUGGGAAAACGACAAUCUCGGGCGAAAUGUCCUGGCUUCCCACAGUUGAAACAAACCUGUGGGGUUCCUGAAGGAGUAGGGUUACGAAACCCAAAAGAUGGUGCAGUUCCAGGACGAGGAGCAACACUGGGAGCUCUGGCAUUCCAGGACUGGAAUGGUCGUUGCUGGAAUGGAGGACGAUACAUGGGUCGGGGAGGACCUCUAUAUACCAUCCUCAUCCUCUGAGGAGCAUUUCCAAAAUUUCCAGAAGGAACAGCCUUCCUCUUUAAUGCUUCUUCUUUCUUUAAUGUUUCAUCCAAUGCUUUCAUCUUUUCUUCUGCGGUAAUGGCUGUGCUUACCGCGGAACUGUAAUUAGCGAACGUGCAGGUGGAUAACUUCUCUUGCAUUCUGGUAUUAAGCCCUCGGAGAUAACAAUCCCUCUUUCUGGUUUCAGUAUUAACAUGCUCUGGGGCAUAUUGAGCUAAGUGGUCGAACUCAUUGGUAUAUGCUAGAAUGCUGCGAGUUCCUUGUUGCAGUCCCAAGAACUGUUCCAGCUUCAUCCUCAUGACGCCCUCGGGUAUAAACUGCGCCCGGAAGGCUUCCUUAAAGUCUUCCCAUGUGACUUCCCUUCCCACUGGCUGCCUAGCCAGAUGACUGGUCCACCAAGUUGCUGCGGGACCUUGAAGCUGAAGCCCCGCAAACUCGGCCUUCUGAAUGGCAGUACAUUGGGGGAUUACUCGAAAUUUCUGCUCCAUGGCCUGAAGCCACUCAUUAGCUUCCAAAGGAUGCUCAGCUUUUAAGAAGACUGGGGGACGUGUUUCCAGAAAUUGGGUGUAGGACACCCCCUGCUCCGGCUCUCUUCUACGUCCACCGUUGCCGGUAUUCUGUACUAUCAUCUGGAGUAAGCGGGCUUGCUCUGCCCCAGAAUUCAUCAAACUAGCUAUUGCGUCAGCCAAUGUAGGUGCUCGGGGUAAAUCCUCUUCCUGUCCUCCGGAGCCUGAAGCUCGGGGUUCUCUGGGAUCCGUCAUGCUGCCAAGAGUAACAAGAUGUCAAUAUCUACGGUGCAUUCUUAUCAACAACUCUCUGCAUACUAACAUAUCACACAUCACAGUAUGCAUAUACACAAACCAUGCUUAUAUACAUACUUAUUUAUAUUACAUGCCUAGGAGUUAAUAUUUACAAAACCCCUUGGUGCCACUUGUUCAUCACUCAUAUCUUACAAGAAUAUAUUACAACAUGUUCCAACCAAGUUCAUGUCAACCGUCAUAAGGAAAAAUGCCCAGUUCUUCGGCAUUUAAGCCCAGUCGUGCCAUGGCUUCUUGCAGGACGUCUUGGUCCACGGUCAUCAAGGUUUGCCCUGGGGGAGCAACAGGUGGAGCUUGAUUGACAGAAUUCUCGCUUCCGGACUCUGAUCCGUAAUCACUCCAAGUGCGAGAAGUAUCAGAGGUGCUAAUUCCAGAAUUUCCUUCCAUCUCUUCUGGUUCCUCUUCUUCUUCGCCUUCCUGUUCUUCUUCUCCCCACUGUUGCAUGGGACCAUAGCCCUGAGGAUCUAGUCCAUCGGCAUUGGCAUUGGCCCACGCAAACUGCUGAUUACCCACAGGGACCUCGUCCUGAUCAUCUUCCAUAUCCACAUCAAAGCCUUCUAGAUUCUCGUGAGCAUAUAAAUCUAUUUCAGGAUCGGCCGGUGGCACUGGAUCUUCUUCCAUUUCUAGCACAGGCACCAACUGAUCUACUUCCUCCGGGUUCUGUGGUUGAGGCUCUUCUGGUGGGGGAGGUGGUGGAAUAUUAAUCAUAUUUUGUGCCGGUACUUGAGCUUGCAUUUCUUCUAGGGCUAGACGAAGUGACAGGAUUUCGUCUAGCUGCUGAAAUCUCUCCGCCUCCAGCCUGUGGACAUUGGAUUCAGCUUCUUCUCUUGCUCUAUCUGCCAUGCUUCGACUUGCUUCGAUGAACCCUUGCAGCGCCCGAAGUUUUUCUUCAUAAUCUUCAAUUCGCCUGGACUGCUCUCGCAUUGCUUUCUCCAUCUCGUGCUCCCUUGCCAUUGCUGCCUUCUUGUACAUUUUCUUGUCAUACCGGGCACCCAUUGCUUCCAUCUUAGUAUCUUCAUUCUUCUGUCUUUGAUUGUAAUACUCCCGGAUACAAGCUUGAUGUAGAUUGUACAUAGCGGUCAUGUAGUCAGAAGCAGCAGCUACCAACACAUCGUGCUCCACACGAGAUGUGUUCUUCAAGGCUUUGAUCCUCCGCUUCCAUACCCCGUCAUCUUGAUGCUUGAUUGGAUAUAAUCGAGCAGAGCUCGACCCUAUUUCCACUUUAUGAUUCUCACAUAGCUCAGUAAGAGCCGUCAUGGCUGCCCUUUCUAUAGUAUCAUGGAAUUCGAAACCCGAUUCCAUUACUUCCUCCAGGCGCCAAUUAGGUCGGGUAUCAUCAUCCGGAAUAUGCACAUACACUGUGCAAUAUUGCUUAUGUCCAGUAUCUUCCUUUCUCCAAUAAUACUCUGGGGAAUUAUGGAAACCCAACUCUUGUAGUGUCUUCCAGAGUAACUGUACAAACCCUGGCUUAUCCAGAUAACGACCACGAGUCCACCCAUCCCUAUCCGUGUAACCUUCUUCAAACAUCCUAUAAAAAGAAAAGAGAUCAGGUCUAGCGGCACUCACCAAACCCAAAAGUUUUUAAACAUGCAAUGCAUUUAUGAUGCAACGGUUCCUACGUACUUUCAGACUCAUAUACACACUCGUAGAAAAAUUGGUGGCAUCGUAAUCUCUCCCUAAUAAACUAUCGAAUACUAGCGACACGCAGCAAACAGUUAGCAUCUGCAAAACAAUCAACCGGUUAACACUACUGCCACCUGUGACUCUUGUUUUUAUUAUUUUAAAAUAGAGUCUCAGUAUUUGAAAAGUAAUAUUUGUUGAUUAUCCCAACCUACGGCUCUGAUACCAGCUGUGGCGGAACCGCCCAACUUAAGCUGGUUUAAGUGCGCCUAAUCGCUGUCGGAGCAGCGAUUAUCCGAAACGCACCUAAAACAGCAUAAGUCCGGUAGUCCGUCGAGUGUCCCUAGGACUCCUCGAAAGAUCCACGGCUUGUUUCAUCACCAUACAUCAGGAUAAUAUCCGCGAUGGGAUAAUAUCAACAAAUAUUACAUUUUUACAUACGUAAUUAAGAGGUACGAGUUAUUACAAGACUUCAAGUUGAAACAAACUUAGUGAUGCAUAGUUAGACAAGCUCUAAGAUUAAACAUAAGUAGUUUAGGAGAAGAUGCGUCGAUAACGGUUUUCUAGAGUAUUGAGAGACUCAGGUCAAUACUCUAGGUCUUCGGGGUCUCCUCUUCGACAGCUUCUUGGGUAGCUUCUGAAAGAUAACCACAAGGGGAAAACCCUGAGUACGGGGUACUCAGCAAGUCUUACCCGACUAACCAAUAUAAUAGUUUUUCUUUGGAAUGCAUGUCAGCCUUUGGGUGUGCUUGGUUGACAUGAUUUUUGCCGAAAAAGCUUACUAUGAGUGAGGCCUUAGUUUUGUCUUUUAAUUUAGUUAAGUUGUUACCUAACCAUUCUAGGUGAUAACAGAAGUAAAAACAAUCACAGCUGUUGAUUCAUACAAUACUUGGCAAUAGAAAAUUUUAUAUCACAUGAGUUCAUGCUACGAAGCUCAACAGUGAUCAAGUGCAUUCAUAACCGAGAAUUGCGGCGAUCCGGAUCAAUUUACAUCCUGCAGGAGAGUACCCCGAUCACCAGCAUUAUACGACUGUCCAGGUCGUACUAGCAACCUCUCGGUUAGUAAAGUCAAUGAUUAGGAACACAACUACCCGGACCCAGGGAUGCACCCCCACAUGGGACCCCACGUCUGGCCCGAUCUCCAUGUGAGUUUCAGGCUACACCCCUGCCAAUAUCCAGCACGUCAAAUGCGGGUACGAAGCAUUCCUGAUCAUAGAAUUUACUAACCUACUGGGCUUUACUGGUCCCAUACCCAGUAAGUGAUCAGAUGUUAUCACUUGAUCAGCGGUUAAGACACGGCCCGGUCCUUAAGCAGAUUAAUAAGCAGACAGAACUACAUCUCUAGCUUCUGUCUGGUUCUAUACUUCAAACUAUCUUUCCUAAACAGCAUGUAUGAUCAAGAGUUUUCCCUAAGGUUGGUAAACCAAGCAUGUAAGCGAGUAAGCAAUUCUAGACUUGGGUAGUUUCUAGGAUUUGAACAAGUGGCAAAGAUGUCCCUAAUUCAAGGCAUGAUCAUACACAAGAAUAGGUUUCAUCCAACUCCUAGACCUAGUGCAUACAAUAACCAAUUAACCUACAACUAGUCACAUGAAAUAACGACUCCAAAAUAGAUAGGUAUAAAUGCACCGGGGCUUGCCUUGAUCGUUAAAAAGAUUAGUAGACACCGACGGAUUCGCUUCACAGGGAACAAAUUCAAACACCUCGUCGGACUCCAAAGGUCCUUCUGAAAAUUCCCAGUAAUCCUCUUCUGGCGCUUCUGGAUCUAUGGUACAUACAUGCAGGGGUUACAAUGCAAACUUUUUAAAUAACAGACUUUACAACUUUCCUUCAUGAUAAAGUUGCAAGCCAACAAAGACUAUACGACUUAUCAUGAAUAAGUUGUAAGUCAACACACAAAAGAAAUCUAAGAAGAUUAACCUCUAUUUUUAUUUUCUUAAUUACCCCUUCCUAUAGCGUUUUCUUUUAUUUUUAGAAAAAGUGGUAAUUACUUUCUAACUUUAACAUCUAAUUUCCUAUGAGUUAAGAAUUAUUUGUGAUUGAUAAAGUAUUAUUCAUAUUUUUAUACAUUUUAUAAAUACUAAGUAUUUACUUAAUUACCUUAAAAGGAAGGCAUUAAAUAAAUACCUAAUUUUUUUAUUAUUUUCCUAGGGUGUAAAAAUUUUAAUGCAUAAAGGAAAAUAAAACAAACCUAACAAAAUUGGUUUCACUAAUUUUGGACACUCCUACAAAUUUCUGUGAUUAAAAUGGUGUAAAACGAAUUUAAACGGAUUAUUUUGCUAAAGAAAUCUAAUUUUUUCCCGAAAUUCCCCCCGGAAAACUUUUCUCACCCACCCACACUCUACCCUCACACGCGAACACUGGGCCUCCCCACGGCACGGACCCCACCUUCCUGUUCAAUCUACCCGCCGGCCUUAACCUCCUUCCGACGGGCCUCGCGGGCCGAUUUCCUCUUCCCUUAUCUCCUGGUAGCCCAGCACCGGCCCACGGCCCCUUUUUCCUUUCCUUCCUUUCUCACGCGACGCCGGCCUGCGUCGCUGCCCUGGGCCUCCGGCCUUUUCUUUCCCGGUCACCCGCGCGCACCACUGGGCCUCAACACGCCGGCCCAAGACGGCCGCACCGCUCUGGCCCGCGCCUUCCUCCCCUUCUCUCUUACUGACAUGCGGGCUCGGUGCACAGCACCUUCUUCCUCCUCCCGCCAAAAGGGCGACCGGAACAGGGGGCGACGCGGCUCGCCGGCCGGCGCCCUCCCGGCGGCGGGUCUUGACGACGACACCAACCCUAACCCUACACGACCUCGCGCGCGGCGACAGCUCCCCUGGGGACAACCGGAGCUACCUCCUCCACGGCGACGGGCGGCAACACCCACGGCCGGCCAUCGUUACCCGUGACAACUACUUAACUGACUCAACCGACUACUUCUACUCCAUCCUGAAACCCUAAGAACUCGACCACGACUGCUCAAGGAAGAAGAAAAGUAGCGCAAGGUGGUUCUCACCGUGAGUGGGCGGCGCGACGGCGGCGGACAGAAGCGGCGGCGAUACAAGGUGUCACGGCGAAGAAGCUGGGCAACAAGUGGGUAGGGCUACUGGUGGGGUGUAGGCGGAGGUGUGGACGGAAGGAAUCGACGGGAGCGGCGGCGUGGAGGUGGAAUUUUGCUUGGCGGCGGUGUCUGGUAGAAGAGGCACGGGCGGCGGUAAAAAGAGCGGCGGUGAAAACGGCGGCGCGGGAGCGGUAGAUAUUCAAGGGUUUCACCGCGCGCAUGGGUGACACCGUGGCCUACCCGUAGGUGUAUGUGGCGAGGAGGUGGCCUAGCUUAGCUGUGCUGGCGGACGACCGACGACGGCGGCGGCGACACGUCUGGAGUUCCUGUCACUGCUUCUCCCGCCCGUGAUCUUCAGAUGCCAAUCGUGGUUGAUCCUUGAUCCAACGGCACACCGAUGUUUAAAGGAAGUUACAGAUAAACUUGAAAUUUCCAUCUUUUGUUUUGACUUCACCCCGAGAUAAUCAUCAAACCGGUGGAAUUUGGAGAUGUUGCUCGAGUUGAUUCUGAAUCGACUGAAUCAAAAGUUCAGUUCGUCAGUCACCGACAGUAGUGCCGACUUCAACUUGCCAAUCCAAUUCAGUGGCCUAAAUCUGGCGUUUCCAACUCAACUUUUACCCAAACAUGCUCUAUAUUGUCCCAAUGUUCCAUUUUGAUCAUAAACCAGUACCCUCCUUGAUCUAAUUUGCUCUGAAAUUGAAUUCAAAGUUGAUGCCUAGCUGCUGUUCAGACUUAGGCAUUUUUCAGAGUUUCAGUUAACUCGUGAUAAUGUGCUGACUUUGGGCUGGAAUUUGACUCCCUUCCUCUUACUGAUCCUGGCCAACAAUACAUGAUUAUUGUAGUCCAAAGUCUAUAUUUCAACAUGGUAUAGUUGUUCUGGUGCACUUAGUUGCAAAUUCUUCCAGAAUUAAAUUUCCAAAUCAGACUCUGAGCUGUUUUUACUGAAUCCUGUUGUCGGACGAGGAACAGUAAACGGCUUUUUCUUUUUCUUUUCUCUGAUUCUUCUGAGAGAUUUAGCACUAGCUUGGUUCCAAAUUUUUGAUCCUUUAGUCCUAAACACUCUUAUACUUGUACUCCACACAUUUGAUAAAUUUUUCUGAAUUUCAAAUUUGAAAUUCAAAUUUCGGUCAAAAUUUGGCCGAAUUUGACCCUUUUGCCAUUUUUCCUUCCUUUUCUUUUGAAUUUUCUUCUGAAUUUUUCAUGGUUACUAUAUUAUUAUGAAUGGCAUUUAUUACACAACGCUCGCCGCACGAGCGUCCCGGUACGAUGCAUGGCUUUAUGGCUCAACCAGCGAACUCCGGAUUUUGUGGUGUAAUCCGAAAACCUCCCUUGACGUCCUCUCGCCGUGUAGCCAGGUACAGUAGACGUACACCGCACGAUCGCCUGUCCCUCGAACGCGAGCCUUGAUCCACCCUUCACCGUCCCACGGUUCGUCGGCAUGGCAUCCUAUCCCCGUUCUUCACUCGUCGCCGCAUGUACCUCGUCUCCACCUGUCACCUGCAACCACACCUGCCAAGAGACACGUCACACGCACACCGUGUUGUCAAUCGCUCAUCACCAAGGUACUAGCCCACCGGCAUCUCACAUUGACGUACCAAUAGGUCUAGCAUGUUAUAAUUGACCUCAGCAGCUCACCAAUUGGCAUUCUUUUUGGACGUUCAGAGCCAACUUGUUCAGAGCCAACUAACAAGAUAACAUGAAGACAUGGAUGGACAACUCGACUAUAUAUAUUUUUUGAACACAAACUUGAUUUUAUUAGAUUACCUGUAUUAUAAAAUACUUAUUGUAAAGCAUAUUGUUUAUACUAUUGACUGAAAUGAUAUUGCUCUUCCCCUUUGAUGCCUGUUGUAAAACUGAUUUUUUUCAGCUAAUUAUUCUAUCUUCACCUAACACUUGGUUGCAACUUCACCUACCAGAACGAUAGGUGUUGUCGCUUUGGUGUAUUGUAGUGAUCAGGUAGUGUAGAGAUAUUUUGUGUAGUGAUCAAAUUGUACAUGUAGAGAGACUUUUGUAUUUAUAGAAUUGUACAGCCGCACGAAACGCAAAGCCACCUGUCGUCGAUCCCACCACCGGGGCUCCGCGCACCCGGGCGUCAUCCCUGCUGCCACACUGCACGGUCCUGCAGAAAUAAACAGGCCAAAGGCAAAUGAGUGAAUGACACAAUCAAAAUUGAUCCGGAGACAGGUAAGAUUGUUGAUUUUCAUCAAGUUUGAUGUGGGUAAUGUUGUCACGGUCACUAGAGGGAGGAAACUGGUCAGGUUGCUAUGAUAAAAGAAUAGGGAGAAGCACAAGGGCAAUUAUGAGAUCCUCCAUGUGGAGGAUGCCUUGGGCCUCGCUGAAAGCAAAUAUGGCUAGGAAAUUGUAUAUUGAUUACGGAGGUGCAUAGCACGUACAUAUAUAUAGGCAAGGGUCCAAGGGUUAGGAACCUUGUCUAUUCUACAAGAAAACCCUGGCGGCUAGCUCUUGAUCUGGCGCAACAGGCGCCUACCAGGGGGAGCCAUGCGCAUGGGCCUAGCCGGGCUAGGGCCCAAUUACACACAUUCUAACACGCCCCCACAGUCUAAUCGCUGGUGCCACGAACAUUUAGACUAGAUCUAAAUUCUUUAAAAAUAGAAGAUGACAACCCUUGGUGAAGACAUCGGCGUACUGGGACGAUGUGGGAACAUGUAGUACACGAACGUCACCCACAGCGACGAGCUCCUGAAUGAAGUGAAGAUCGAUCUCGAUAUGUUUGGUGUGCUGAUGCUGAACCAGGUUGGAGGACAUGUAGACCGCGCUGAUGUUGUCGCAAUAGACCAAGAAGGUGCGGUGAAGUGGGGCAUGGAGCUCUUGAAGUAGCUGGCACAGCCAGGUAGCUUCGGCGACGGCAUUGGCCACAGCACGGUACUCAGCUUCGGCGAGACGGUGGGCUGACGCUUUGAGGACCAAGAAAUCAGGUUGUCGCCGAGGAAGACCACAUAAUCGAAAGUGGAUUUGCGUGUGUUAGGAUAGCCAACCCAAUCAGCAUCAGAGCAUACCACCAGAAGUGGACGCCACGGGAGAGGAAGAACGUGCGAGCGCUGGAGUUGUCAAACUCAUGACCGUUCUCGCACUAGACGGCCUUAAUGAUGGCGCCGAACUGUGUAAGCACGUAGGAAAAGAAAUUAGCAAGAGUAUCAAAUGUGUCAGAUUUUAGCCUUAGAGGAAAAGUUCUAGAAAAGUGAGAGCAAGCAUUGAGAACAAUUAAAUAAUAUUUAAAAUCUGAGAUGCUAGGAAUAGGUGAUGUCCAGAGAUCACAAUGAAUAAGAUCAAAAUUCCUGGAAGCUCAAGAGGAGGACACCCGGAAGGGAAGACGAGUGUGUCGUCCGAGCUGACAUGCAUGAUAGAGAGACGAGCUAAUGUCUUUAUUACAUGAAGGUAAAAUUAGUGCAAGACGGGCGAGGGCUUCCUGCCCAGGAUGGCCGAGGCGAUGGUGCCAGACCGUGGAGGUGACGCCAGCAGUAAGAGUAGCAGCAGCAGGGAGGUGUAGGGGGUAUAGCGGACCCAAACUAUUGCACCUGACAAUCACGUUCCUGGAUCGAAGAUCCUUCACAGAACAACCAGAUGGGUCAAAUUCAACUGAGCAAUUGUUAUCGAUGGUAAAUUGGCGAAUGGAAAUAAGAUUCUUAAUAAGGUUGGGUAAAAUAAGAACAUUAUUAAGAUGUUAAGGACCCGGAUGAACAUCUGCGCUAGUGGAGGUGACAAGAAGUAAAGAACUGUCACCGACAACAAUAGCUGAUGGAAAAGGGUACCGCUGGGUGAAAUUAUGCAAGAGGGAACGAGCAUCGGAGGUCAUGUGGGAGGUAGCACCUGAAUCGAAGUACCACUCGUGCUGCUGCGGCUGGUUUAGCGUCAUAGUGCUGAAGGUGGAGGCGAGGGAUUGCUAAUCCCAUGACGGUGUGCUGGCGGCGGUGCCGGCGAUGGAGAGCUGGUACAGCACCUGCUGUAGAGCCUAUUCCUAGGCGGCCUAGUAUGCCUGAGCCUGCGCCUGGGCCGCCUGCAAUUGGGCAGCCUACAGCUGGGCGGCCUGGAACUGGGCUGCUUGGAGUGCCUGGAGCUCCGCCUGCUGGGCUGGCGUGGCAUGGAGAACUGGGCUAGCAUGGCGUGGGGCGCCCCGGGCUGCGGAGGGCAUGUACUGGGCCACAUCUGGAUGGCCCCGGUCCACAGGUUCUGGAAGGAGGGCUAGGGAGUGACGUCGGAGGGGCCCGGGGGGCGCCUUGCUUGGCGCCGCUGGAGGGGCGCUGGCUGACACCGACGCCGCUACUACCGCUGCCGGAGUUGCCACCCUUGGAGUUGCACCUACCGGAGUUGUGUUUGUUGUGACGAGUCUUGGAGGAGCCGCCCCCGGAAUGGGGCUGCUGUGAGGCCUGGGGCGGUCGGGCUGAUGUGGAGGCGCCCGGGGCAGCAGCGAGAAGAGCGGUGGAGGGCUCCGAGGACGGCUACGCGAAGGUGAGUUCCUCGAACAGCAGAUCAUUCCGAGCCUCCAGGAACAUCGAGAACGGGCGAGCACGAUGAAGGUGAAGAACAAUGGCGGCGUACUUGGAGUUGAGGCCGCGGAUGACGUUGAGGAUGAGGGACCGGUAAGUGACAGGCUCGUCGAGCUCGUCGGCAUCAUCCAUGGCCUUCAGACGGCGGCAGUAGUUAGUGAUGGAUAGAUCACCCUAGACGAAGGUACGAAACUGGGCGUCAAGGAGGAGGGCGCGUGUGUCGUGGUUGCAGAGGAACUGAGACUCGACGGCAAGCCAGACGGAGCGAGUAGUGGCGCCGGGCGUCAUCACGGUGUCGGCAAGGUCGUUGGAGAGGGUGCCAUAGAUCCAAGACCGAACGACGCAAUCCAUCCGCGCCUAGUCAGGGUGACCGUCGAGAGGACUGUCCUGAAGCACGUGGGCGUCGAGGGAGAACUUCUCGACGGUGAGCAGAAAUUGCUCGCGCCAGCAGGCGUAGUUGGUGGAGGCGACAUCGAGGAUGAUCGGGACGAGGCUGCAGAUGUUCUGAAGUGCAACAAGCUGGGCGUGCAGGUUCAGGACGGCAGCGACCUCGUGGAGCAGCAUGGCAUCAUGGACGAAGGGGACGAUAUGGUUCUUGUGGUCAUCAUCAUCGUUGUCAGGGUGAAUGCUGGGUGGCGGAUCAGCGGCCUCAGCGGGGCGCGCUCCUCGACAGCAAGGGCCAGGGCGUCGUGGAGGCGGGCAUCAGCGGUGUCGCGUUCCUGAGCCGCGGUAGCCGCCAGCUGCUUAGCCUGGACAGCGCGGACGAGGGUGGCAGUGCGGGCAGCCUGCCGCUAGGCCUCCUCGGCGAGGUGCUGCUCCUCUGCCGCGGGCGAUGUAGCGACUGGAUCGAUGACAGGGGACGUGGAGCCAGCCAUAGUGAUGGCAUGUGCUAGAAAAGCGGAAGCUAAAUCGGGGUAGGAACCCGGACUCGUGAUACCAUGAAAGCAAAUAUGGCUAGAAAAUUGUAGAUUGAUUAUGGAGGUGCAUAGCACGUACACAUAUAUAGGCAAGGGACAAGAAAGCCCUGGUGGCUGGCUCCUGAUCUGGCGCAACAAGUGCCUGUCGGGGGGAGCCAUGCGCAUGGGCCUAGUUGGGCUGGGCCCAAUUAGACACAUUCUAACACAUGCCUUUGCCACCUAUUUGGGCAAUGUGCUCACAAUUGGCAAGGGGAACAAACCAUGGGUGAGUCUCCCCAAGGGUAAGGGUAUUAAGCUCAGCAAAAUUUAGGAGCAGAGAAAGCUGGAUCCUGCUACUCAGCUUGCUGGGAAUACUUAAGUAGUUUACAUAGAUUUGCUAUAGAAUAAGCCCAAAUGGAAACAUAGAGCGUGCCUUGCUUAUGAUUUUGCGGUUGAUAUGUAGCCUUUGAUUCUAGUUGUUAGUAUUAUUAAAUUACUGUAGACACGUCAUGUUGGAGCCCAAAAGUGGUAGGACUUGGAAAAUCUGGUCAGGCCUGUUCAGACCGGUCUUCCAACCGGUCAGACCGGUUUGGUGAAAGUUCUCAAAAUGCAAAUUGUACUUCACCAUGGUGCAGCUCUCAUUGAGACGAUAUAAAUGCAUAUAUGGAAUGUUCGAUUUGGACUUCGGAUGAGAGAGUUAUGCCCUUGGGAAGAUCAGCACCCUGUGCAGACAAGUCAGACCGGUUGAACCCACCAGUCAGACUGGUUGGAUCAAAGUGCUCCAAAUGAAGAUUGGACUCUACCAUUGCGUAGAUCUUGUCGAGUAGAUCAAGAUUCAUAUAUAAAACGUCCGAUUUGGAGUUCGGAUGAGGGAGAUACAAUCUUCGCAAAAUCUGCACCCGAGCAGACCGGUCACACCGGUUGCCCAGGCCGGUCUGACCAGUCUGGCUCUAUGUAAUCCGAGUAGGAGUUGUAAUUUAGCAUGAUUUGUAUUAGGAUUUCGACUUCUACGUGGGGAAGACCUUCCCUCAGGGAUUCAACCGGUUGAGGACAUCCAACCCAGUCGACAUAAACCAAUCUAUUAUUUAUCAUUUUUUUUCCUUUAUUCUUUUGCCCUAGCUUCUCCAAUCUACCACUUGCUGUUCUUCCUUCGUCUCGAUGAGGUUUGAAGCCGCUCUAGGUGGCCUGCCGAUCGUAGAGCAACCCUGUGUGCGUCUGCCCCCGACGGGAUCCUUCCCGGGUGAACGUUCGAAGGUCUACCGUUGACCUGCCCAACAACCGGUCGGACCAGUCCCUAUAACCGGUUAGACCGGCCUGCGUCGAGGUGCUACCGCGAGCCCCUCCGCACGCCGCACGAUCGUGUGCGUUUGUGUGUUGGCCCAAAAAAGCGUCAACACGUCCUCAUCCAUAUUUAUGUCAUCUACUAUCAAGUCAUGUCAGCAAUUAGUUCGGUCCAAUUCUGGAUUUUAUCAUGUUUUCUAAGUGGUUUGGUUUGUUCGACUUUACCUUUGUAUGAAUGUGUUCAAAGCUUUGUUUUUUGUUGAACAGCAUCAUGAGCGAAUGACUUUAUGUGUUUAUCGAGUAUUGUUUGUUUGUGAGAAGAAGGCAGUGACUGCACUUUGGUACAUUUUACAAUGCAAUGCUCAUACAAGUAUGUAUUCAUUUUUUUCGUGAACACGCAGGAGAGCUGCGCAUCUUUAUACUAAGCAGAAAAAAGACAUACAACAUGGGCCUGCCGGGUGCACGCAUUUGGUUUAAGCUUACAUUAACAGCUAUUACAUGAAACUCUUACAACGAAUGGAUAGAGAAGAGUAGAUCCUCUAUGAGAUAGGCAACCCUGCUGUCCCUGGCCAGCCAAGUGCUGCCAGGUGUUUGGCGCCUGCCGCGCACUAGAGCUCCCCUUCAGUUGUGAUCUCCUAGACUAGGCGCUCCACACUCUUUGCCUGCGAGCGGCCGAACGCUCGGUUGCAGGCAUUGAAUCCUUCCCUUUUUUGCAGCCACCAGUCAAGGAGGGACUGAUUCUGUGUUGGAGCAAUAUUCAGCAAGUUCAUUGAAGCGCUGAUAUGUUGCCACACCUGGAGAGUGUAGGAGCAUCUGGAUAGCAGGUGAUUUGCCGUCUCUAACUCUUGAUCACAAAGCACACAAUCAGCCUGGUCUUGCAGUCCACGUUUUUGCCUCCUCGCUGCCGUUCACAACCUGUUCUUGAUAGCCAACCACAUGAAGAACUUAAUUUUGAGAGGAGCCCAUGCUUUCCAAAUCAGCUUAGCUGCAACGAAUCUGACGGCAGUUCCGAAGAAGAAACGAUAUGCCGAUUUCACUGAAUACUCUCCUUUGAUGUUCCUGUUGGAUUUUGGCCCAUACAUGGCUCAAUCUCAAAAUUCCAAAGCAUGCACAACCUUUAGUCCCAUAUUGGUAAUUCAAGGAGAGGUUACUUUGCUUAAAUAUGGGAGUCUUCUCUUUAUGCAAAAAAAGGUGCAAGUGAGAGAGAGAGGAGCCUGUUGCUACACGCACGCACAUUUUCGCGUAAAAAAUCGCGUGACUUGUGACUUGUGACUUGUGACUACUAAUUUAUGAGGCUGUUUGAUGGGGGAAACUUAUGCUGUAUUGAGUCUAUAACACCAGGAGACGUCCUG